UUAGACCGAAUGGACCGAAGGAUUCUACAAGGAUAAAGAGAAGGCUAAAGUGAACGUGUAGAUUGCCUAUGUAAUAGUAUAGGUUUGUAAUGAUAAUAUUUGAUAUUAUGACAAGAACAAAUGUAACGGUUAUAAAGAACCUGGGGAAUGGUAGUAUUGUUUUGGAAUAUAUAUGAGACAUAUUCGUUCUUUUGAGGCAUUUGAAUUGAAUUUUGUGUGAACUGUAUCACCGUGGAGCACCAUAUGUCGGGUUGAAAGAGACCCGGAUUUGGGGGCGUCACAGGUUGGUAUCAAAGCAUUAGGUUAUAAAACUUAAGGGGGGAAGAACCUUAGGCUAAUAACCUCGUUAAGGAAGAGAAGUCCGAAUGAAGUAAACUCGAGCUUUACUUAAGUUGAAUGAGUCAAUAAGGUAUUGAGGAAACUCAGUACCAAAAGAUUUAAAAGAUGGAAAGUAACCAUAAAUAAAUUAAAUGUGAUUUGUGCUUAUAUGAUUCUGUGUUAUGUACUAAUCAAUAUAUGUGUUAUUGUAGGAUGUCGAUCGAUAGCUUGAUCUAUAGAGAUAUACACGCGGUGAGUGAAGAGCUUGUAAACCAAGUAGAGACUGUACCUAUGCCGGUGGCGGAGGUACCAUUAGUGAUUCUAGCGGAGUCGGAGGCAGAGGAGUACUUUUUCGAGGAAGAAUACUCAGAGGGAGAGAUGGAUAUAUCGUUAUACCUUAGUAUGAUGAAUGAUAUGGAGGAAGAAAGAGAGGUAACAUCGGUUACUAUGGUGGUACCUACAUUGGAGUCAUCACCUCCAGAUGCAAUGGAAGCAUUGUAUCUGGCAGCGCUUGACAGGAAUGUGCAACUGGGUACAGUUGUGCAGAAUCAGAGUGAAGAGAUUAGUUAUCUCCAUGAAGCUAAGAAGUCUGCAGAAGCAGAUUUUGAGUUAGAGCACGAUAAGCAGGUGCUUAUGGCAGAGCAGGCUAGGAAUUUUAAGGCAGAGGCCGAUGAGCUUCGUAGAGAACUGGGGGAGAAGGACCAGAAGAUAGCACGGAUGUCUUACAUCCAUCAGAGUGAAUAUAAGGAUUUCAAGCUGAAGGUUGCUUGUUAUUCCAUUGAGUCAGGUCAAACCCGUCAUAUGAUUAGUCGGGAUACUGUAGCAAUGAUUGCAAAUGAGAAACACGAGGAUGCUGUUAUGCAUUAUUAGAAAUCUAAAGUUAUAAAUAUGUGUGUAAUGACGUAAAAUCCUCUUUUAAAGGGUAGUCUUUUGUAAAUCCCAACUUUUGUGAAGUUCAAUUGUGGGAUAGAAAAUGUAAUAGCUUUUGGCUAUAGAGAACAAGUUGUAAAUAGUUUCAAACUAUGAAAGAGCAUAUGAAUAUAAAUAAGUUUUCAUGGAAAUGAUUUGUUAUGAUGCGAUCUGGUAUGUAGCGAUUAAUAACGAAGUAAGUAAAUAGAUAAUAAUGAAAUUUUAUUUAUUUAAUCUGAAUAAUGCUGCCUAGGAGAAGAUAACGUAAUCAGGAAGCAAAAUCAUGUAAUGAUAAUGAAGGGGGUCUGAACAACCCUAUGCAAGAGUUCGUUAAUUUAUUAACGGCUGCAUUUAACCAAACCAAGGGUAGAGUACCCGCGGAUCUUAGGGUAGCUAGAACGAUUACCUAUAAAUAGUUUAAAAGCGUAGGUCUGCCGGAGUUCAAAGGAACGACGGACCUAAUAGAGUCCCAGACAUGGGUAAAAGUAAUAGAGAAGGCGUUUUGUUAUUACAAACGUAGGUGAGCCACAGAAGUUUUCUUUUGUGACUUACCUAAGGAAGAGUAAAGCCAACUUUUGGUGGGAGGCUCACCAGGGUGGGGCUGGAACAGAGGUAGUAACGUGGGAACAAUUCAAGAAGGUUUUCUUCGAGAAUUAUUUUCCAUAUAAGACAUGUGAGGGAGGAUAAACACUGAGUUCUUAGAACUUAAGCAAGGGGACAUGACAUUUCCCCAGUAUGCAACCAAAUUCAAAUGAAUUGGCAAGGUUUGUUUCACAUCAAGUGGAUAAGGAGGAGGUGAAGGCUCGUAGAUUGGAGCAGAGCCUGAGACCCUAGCUCUAUAAUGGGAUUUUGGUGAUCUAGAGUGUUUCCUAUGGGAUCAUUCUGGAGAAGGUGAUUAUAGCAUAAGGUGAUAGUGAGUUGUAGACUUAAUACCACAAAGAGGGAAAAGAUGAGAGCAAGAGAGAGGGAGGAACCAAGGUAGAGAAUGGUAGUGGCAGUAUGCCAAAGAGACAUAAAUUUUUAACUCCGAGAAUACUGAAGUGGGACAAGGGGAUCCUAAGUGAAGGAUCAAGGUGAGUAAGACGUGUGGAAAGACUUAUCUAGGAGUCUGUCUGGAAGGGAUUAUAAAUACCUUUAAAACAUUAAGAUAGAGGAGGAGGGAUUAACUUUCGUUAAAUUAUAUUCGUGAAAAUUAUUUCAUGGAUAAUAGAAGUAAGUAGGUAUCAGUAGAUAAGUACUGUUCAUGUUGAGAGAAUUGGAGGAAAUUCUCGGUAUGAAUGGGUUGAUUAACCAUAGAGCUAUAACAAAUAGUUAUAAGUAAAGUGUGAACCUUUAGUUUUCUCAGAAAAUCUAAGGUAGUAAUUUACGGUAAUAAAAUACCGCGACAUUCUUAUUGUCGAACCAUGACGUAAGUUAGGAGGAUGUUAAGGAAGAAGAUGAGUCGUUACGGUUGCGUAUCGACUAUUGUAACAGAAGUAAGUUAGCAGUUAAUAAUAAAUACCCAUGGCCCAGGAUCGAUGAUCUAUUUGGUCAGUUGAGAGGGGCAAAGAAUUUUUAUAAAGAUAGAUGUAUUAUGGGGUAUAGUCGGUUGGAAGUAAGGAAGAAGGAGGAGGUACCUAAGAUGACGUUCAAAAUUCGUUAUGGUUAUGACAAGUUUCUGGUUAUGUCAUUUAGGUUGACUAAUGUGCGGAAGUAGGAUUUUCCGUAAGGGGCGCCAAUCAAGUUGGUGGUCAAUUUGAUAGUUACCCUUGUGGGAUGUUAUGGUUGAAGGUACCAUUAGCGUCACAGGAUUUAAAAGAAAGGUUGAUUAAGGCACCUGUAUUAUCUUUAUCAGAUGAUACAAGGAAGUUUUGUAGUGUAUCUCGAUGUUUGCAUAGAUGUUAUGAUUGCGUGCUCUUAUAGCAUGGCAAUGCCAUUGUGUAUGCAUCACGCCAGUUAAAGGGUUAUGAGGAGGUCUAUCCUACUUAUUAUCUAUAAUUGGAAGCAGUAGUUUUUGAAUUAAAAAUAUGAAGAUAGUAUUUAUACAGAGAGAAGCGUGAGAUAUACAAGGACUCUAAGAGUCUGAAAUAUAUCUCCACACAGAAGAUUUGAAUAUGUAGUAGAGAGGACUGUGAUAUCUUAUAUCAUUCAGGAAAGGUAAACGUUGUAGCCGACGCAUUAAGUAGGAGGGGUAGGGAAAGCUAUCGAUGCUAACGACUCAGAAUGAGUUAAUAACAGAAAUGGUAAGAUCAGAGUUAGAAGUUAAAUUAAGGAAUGAAGGGGUAGAAUUGUUAUUCAAAACGUAGACUCAAUCCACGAUAAUGGAGUGAGUUAAGUAAGUACAACUAAGUAACGAGGGAUGCAAGCGAAUGAAGAAGAUGAUGCAGGAUAAGUAGAAGACUAAGUAUAGUCUUAUUUUGAGGGAGGAAUUUGAGUUCCAGAUAAGUACGAGUUAAAAGAAGAAUUAAUAAAAGAAAGAUCGCGUAAUGUGUUAAUAAGUGUUUAACUUCCCACUCAGAUUAUUGAUAGGAAGAUAUAAGUCAUGUGAAUUAAGAUAAUACCUUCGAUGAAGGUGAAAUAAAAGAACCCCAAUGUCAAAGAAGCAUUGUGGGAACUCGAGAUUAAAAUAAAGAAAAAAUUAUCCUCUAUGGUGUAGGUAUUAUUAGCGAGAUUUUGGGGACAGAAUCCUUAUAAGGAGGGAAGAGUGUAACGCCUCGAGAAAAUCGGAUUUUUGAGAAUUAAAUUUUUAUUUUUAUUAAAUGAAUUUAAUGGAUUAUUUAUGGAGCAAGCUAAUUGAAGGUCGUUCUAUGACUUAAACAUAUCAGAAUGUCGUAGUAUUUUGACGUGGUAGAAUUAAAGUGUUUGAAUUUCCAAGACGAAAAUAAAAGCUUUUCGAGAAAUUUUUUGAAAAACACUAUUCACGCAUUUCUGCUCGGGAAUUAUUUUUGAACUUCCGAGAAAUACGUAACGAUAGAAUAUCGAGGUGAGAUGGAAUAUCCAAUAAUAUUUCAGUUAUGGAAAACGUAAUAUUUCGCCUGUGGACUUAAAACCUAACGUUUAAGGAAAAUGAUUUACGAGAAGGAAAUGUAAUGCGAUUAAUGAAUUAAGCGAUGAUUGUAUAAUACGUAGGUAUUGUACGAGGUAGAGAAUACGAGUAUGAUACGAGGUAUUAUACGAGUACGUAUGAAUGAUGGUAUAUCGUAUAUAUUGAAUAAAUAUACGAGGGGAAUACGAGAUGAAUACGUGAUUAUACGUUAUAAGGCUUUAAGCUCAAUGUAUUGAAUUUGUAGAAUUGGUAGGAUUUGUUAAGUAUUAUGUGAGCCAAGUAAAGAAUGGUUAAGUCCAAUAUAAUUUAAUGUACAAACCCAAGUGUUUGUAAUGUGAAGCCCAAAGUAAAUUAAUGUAAGCCCAAAUGAUUUAGUUAAGCAAAUUAUGCUAGAAACCCAAAGUAUGAACCUAUGGGUUAUAGGAUGGUUUAAACCCAUGGAGCAAUCCAUGGAUAACCCAAAGUGGUGAGUAAGAAAAGAAACUUAAGGGCUAAGUGUUGUGGGGAGAAAGUAAACUUAAUGACCAAGUAGACUUAAGGGCUAAGCAAUGGAUAACUUAAGUGGUGGGCAAGCAAAGUGCUUAUGUGUGAUUAACAAGUAUACUUAGUGAUUAAGAAAGUGUGAUGGCCAAGUUUAGGUGGUGAGCAAGUUAACUUAGUCACAAAGUAAUGAAUAGUAAGGAGGUGGAGUGGCCUAAAAGACUAAACUACCCUAACCUUGGAAAUUCUAUAAAUAGAGAGCUUGGAUUUCAUUUUGUGUGUUGAUUCAUUUUCAUCCCACAAGUUGAGAGCUUAUAUGGUAGAGAGAAUAAGCACAUAUAAGUUAGACUUCCUUGUUAGAUUUUCCACCAACAACUUAUGGCUUAUUGGUUUGAGAGAAAAAGUAAGGAAAGAUAGAAGUUGACCUUUGUUAGAUUUUCAAGAAGCAAGAAGAAGAUUAAGGUGUAGCAAGUGAAUAUACAAGAGUAAGUAUUCUUGAACCAUGAUUCUUUUUCUCUUCCAUUGUUAGAGAAGGGGGUAUUGGUAGAACUAGUAUGCUAAGUAAUGAUAAAUCAAAGGGCUAAAGUCUUAAUAAGCCGUAAUAAGUCACGAACAAGUCAUUUCUACUUAUAUAAGUUAUGAACUUAUGAAGAUCUUGUAAGAACUUGUCAUAUGAUAAUGGUGAUGAAGUUAGUAGGAACUUAAUAAGAAAUUGUAAGAACUUGUAACAUUUUUACAUUAAUGGCACUAGUAUGAUAAGAAGAUGCAAGAAUGAUGGUUAAAAGAUUAAAGCCAUCAUAAAUCAUAAGAAAUAGAAUUAUAAGUAGUUUAUGAGUUUUGAACUUAUUAAGAACAAGUAAUAACUUAUUAUGUUUAUAAGUUAAUGAAGCUUGUAUGUCAAGAUGUUAGUAUAAUGGAUUGAAUCUAAGUGAAAUGGUUUAAAAAUCUCAAGUAACGAAGUUUCUCCGGAAUUUACACGAUUAGACGACGAUCGUCGAAUUCGUGAAAUUCUCGGAAUGGAAGUCGAAUUUUGAUAUUGAGCUUGGAGACAUUGGUUCUCAAUGGAGACAAGUCGUAUUUGUCAUUAUAGAGUUGCGGACUCGAAAAUGGCCGGAUUCCGACUUAGAACGAAGAAACGAGCGUUGAACGUUCACGAACGUUUAUCAUUUUCGUGAAAAAUGGACUAAUAGGUGAAAUUUUAGCAAACAAAGUCGAAUAGAUAAAAUUCUUGCAUGAACGCAUAGAGUACAUAAUUUGUGAACCGUAGGCUCUUGAAUGAGCCAAUUCAAACUUAUAACGAAGAAGUUACCAGUCCGGGAAUCUCGCAAAGUUGAAAAUCUGUCAAAACUAUCUGUGGCUCAGAGUCCGCGCCGCGGCGCGACUCCAAGCUUAAAUGACCGGUGCCGCAGUGCCAAAGUGAGCUCCAGACACUGCAAACUCACCCCGCAGCGCGAUAGUUAACAAAGGGACUCGCGCCGCAGCGCCGAGUCCGGUCUCCAAUCCAUAAUGGGCGACGCCGCAGCGCGGCACAACAAAGGGUCACCGGUGCCGCAGUGCCAACCUUAAAAGCUAGGCAGAAAUGAAUGGUUUCAAGUAAAGAUGAAGGAAAAUUGUUUAGUAAUGAACUAAGGAACUUAAUCAUACAUUAUUAAGUUAUAAUUAAACCUUAAGUAUGAGCACUUAGGGUUAAAGAAAGUCAAUUAAAGAUGAACGUGAAUGAUGUGCAAUAAGUAUACUUAACCAAUGACGAUCGAGUUUCGGAUGAUAACGUAAGGACGUUAGUAAGCCGUGAGGAAGGAUAAUUAACUUGAACCGAGUUGUAUUAAUGAAAUAACUUCACUUAAGUUAUGGAAGAGACAGAAGUCGGUAAGAAUGAUGUAAAGAAUAACGGAAAGCCGGAACCAAUAAUAACAAAUCUAAUACGGGAUUAGAUUGAGAAGUAGGGUAAGAUUCUUUAGGAACUAUGUAUGUUCAUUCAUGACCUAAUGUGGUAUAUUAUGUGAUUAUGUAUUGUAGAGAUUGUAAAGACUCAAAGGAAAUGUAAUUAUUCGGUAGCAGACGCUGAAGGCAAGUUUUCCUAAACCCUUGUCUAACCUUCGUGUUAGUCAGGUUUUCAAAUGAUUCAAGUUAUGAGAUGCAUGUAUGGUUUUGAAGAAAGGGUCGAUGCCAGUUUUGUCUCGGCUAGACUAAUCUUGAUAAGUUGAUUGAUUUAUUUACAAGUCUUUCAAUAUAGAAUUGCUAACGCUAUCCUAUGCCAAUUCUUUGGUACGGAUUCAAGGUAAGCUUGAAUAUGUAUAAACAAAUGUAUUUUCAUCGAGUAUUCGAUGGGCACGUGAGGUUGCCACAACUUAAACGUACACACGUUUAAUGGAUGUAGUGUUGAUCAACAUAGGGUACUAUAGGCUGAUCACCUAGAUGUACUCGUAAGCAAUGCCGGACUUACGGACUUCGUGCCGGGUUGCCCUUUUCAAAGAAACUAUAAGACGUUCACGUCUUGAACCAGAAUUGAUGAAUUGAUGAAUAUUGUUGUUGUAAAAUGUUUUGAAGGAAAAAGGAAAGCUAUUUUGAAUUAUUGAUAGUACUUCGUAACUAUCAUCUAGUUAUUAACGAUAUACGAUUCCUAUGUUUCAAACAUACUUUUAAAAUGAAAUUGUUGUACUUGUUGAGCUUGUUAUGCUCACUCUUGCUUGAACCAUAUGCAUGCAGCUUAGACCGAAUGGACCGAAGGAUUCUACAAGGAUAAAGAGAAGGGUAAAGUGAACGUGUAAAUUGCCUAUGUAAUAGUAUAGGUUUGUAAUGAUAAUAUUUGAUAUUAUGACAAGAACAAAUGUAACGGUUAUAAAGAACCUGGGGAAUGGUAGUAUUGUUUUGGAAUAUAUAUAAGACAUAUUCGUUCUUUUGAGGCAUUUCAAUUGAAUGUUUGUGUGAACUGUAGCACCGUGGAGCACCAUAUGUCGAGUUGAAAUAGACUCGGAUUUGGGGGCGUCAAAUCAUUAAUAGUUUAAUAUUAAUUAAAUAUUAAUAAUAAUAGAAUUAUUUAAUAUUUAAAUCAUUUAAUAAUGAUUUCGGUGUUUAAAAAAUCAUGAUAAAAUAUAAUAAUUAUUUAAAAAUUAUUAUAAGUCAAUUAAAAAUAAUAUGACUGAUAUUUACAGUUAUUGAAUUACAGGAUAGCGUCUUAGACUCGAUAAUUACCCGAUAAAGCCGUCGGUACACCGACAUGUUUUAGAAAUUGAUCUGGACUUAGAUAAUUUGAUUGGAUACAUGUUUGUUUAUGAUCCAAUGACUGUUAAACAUGUGUGACAAUGUGAUUAGGUUAUGUGCUGACUGCAAUAAGCAGUAUUAUGUGUUACGAUAUGUUAUUCUAAUCAAUAAAGUUGUAAGACCCCAGCUUUUAUGAAUAAAGAUGAAUUUUCUAUAAAUAUUAUUUUUGAAUAUUAUGGAGUAAAUUUGAUAUAAUGUUAUAGUUGUGGGUAAUAUUUAUAAAUUUUGCAAAGUACGCAAGUUGUUAUAUAAUAUUCGAUUGGUCGGGGAAUAUUCAUUUUAAUAGGUAAUAUUUGUACGACGACACAAUCAUUGGUGGACCCCACAAUGAAAUUAUUGUCGAAUUAAGAAAACGACAAAAAUAUUUUAUGAAAAUAACGGCGGAAGUUUUACCGUUAACUAUUGAAACACCCGGUGUUAAAAGUACAGUAAUACGCGUGGUUGCAUAGUAGCACACGGUAUUGAUUAUUGAUGCUUACGUGAGAAGUCACUCAGUUUUGUUCAAUUAUUACUACCGUAAUUGCUGCAUAGUAUCUCACGUUAUUUGAUUCAAUUAUUGUCAAUAUUUUAUAUAUUAUUAAAUCAAUAAUUGAGACGACAAAGUUAUUAAUAUUAUUAUUUGCAAUAUUGACGAUGUCUAGAAGUUCUGUCAAGGAGAGGUUUGGUCACCUAAUUGCGCGCCAAUAGAGAAAAAUUCUUAUUGGAAAGCCCCCUCUUUCCUAGGAACGACCUGGUCGAUUAAUAUUGUGAAUUAUAAUAAUGGUGAUAGAUGUUGUUUUAUUAUUAUUAUAAAUGUAAUAAAACAAAAAACAUUUUAUAUAAAACAGAAUACUUUUUAAAAAGUUUUGUUUUAUUUGAUUAUAAAUAGAAUAUAUUAUAUUUUAUUAUACAUAGUGUUUGCAUAGUAAAAACAUUUUAUAUAAAACAGAAUACCUUUUAUAAAGUUUUGCUUUAUUUGAUUAUAAAUAGAAUAUAUUAUAUUUUAUUAUGCAUAGUGUUUGCAUAGUGCCUGCAUAGUGUUUGCAUAUUAAAAACUUUUUAUAUAAAACAUACUAUUUUUUAUAAAGUUUUAUUUUAUUUGAUUAUAAAUAGAAUAUAUUAUAUUUUAUUGCAUAGUGCAACAUAUUAUCCUUUUCAUUCUCCUAUAAAUAGGAUGCUUAGUUAGAAUUGAAAAUCACACCAGAAAUUCAGAGAAUUCUUCUUCUAUUGUCUUGAGCAUAUUUCUUUAGAGUUUAAGAAAGUUUUGAGCGUAGAAAAUAGUACAAGUUUUCUUCAAGUAUAUCCCCGCCCUACCCGUCGGAAUACUCUUCUUUUUAAGGUAAGGGGUAUUAUUCUUCCGUAUUCAUGAAGAGAGUUAUUUUCUUUCAAUACUCGUAAGGGUUGUUAUUCCAUUCUUUAUUAUUCUGUUGGAAUAACCUGUCUGUGCGGUCUAUCGCAUCCUUGGUGUAUUCUGUUCUUAUUCCAUUCUUUAUUAUUCUGUUGGAAUAUCCUGUCCGUGCGGAUUACGCAUGACCUGGUUCCAUUAUUUAUUAUGCUGUUGGAAUAUCCUGUCUGUGCGGGUUACGCAUGACCUGGUUCUAUUCUUUAUUAUUCUGUUGGAAUAACCUGUCUGUGCGGAUUACGCACGCCUGGUGAAUUCUUCUGUUAUUCCAUUCUUUAUUAUUCUGUUGGAAUAAUCUGUCUACGUGUAUUACCGCAUGGCGACAAAAAUCCAUUUGCGGUUUCAUAUAUUCUAUUCUACUCAGUUGGUUAAAGUUUUGGCUUCUAUACUCCAUGAAAUUAGUGGAAUAUCCUUGAUAUUUGCGCUUCAUCCAGUAUCUUUUCAUGGAAAUAUUCUUCUGAGCAUUCUUGAAUUUUACUCCACAAAACAGUAUCAUGUUAACAAUUUGGACGUUAUUGAUUUCUAGAUAAAUUAAAUUAUAAAUCUUUAAAAAUUUAUCCUUGAACUUGUUUUAUUGAAUUCUUAUAUCAUUGUCAUCAUCCUCAUGUUUAUAAUAUGUUGAAAGUCAUUUGUGUCCUGUAGUGCAUAGAUGGACUUGGUAUGAUUAUGACCAGGGAUUAUUCGGUAUAAUCAUGACUAUAAUGUUACAAUUGAUGUGGUAAAAAAUCCUCAUUGGCCGUAGUGCAUUGAUGGACAGUGGUUGGCAUGAUCAUGACCAUUGAUGAAUACACAAAUAUCCUUGGCACGUAGUGCAUGGAUAAUUUGUGGUUGUGAUACUAAUGAAUAUCCUUGGUCAUAGUGCAGAGAUGAUUUGGAUUAUUUAUUAAGCUGAGUCUCAGCGAUAAAAGUAAUGAAAAACCUUUUAAAUCAUAGAAGAUAGUAGAUUUUAUUAUCUACUUGACUCUUCUAAUGGAUUGCUUGUUCCACUACAGUUAAACUUGACGUUUGUUAUAUUUCAUCCGUUUAACAUUGUUGAAGGCUUAUGAUAAUUUAUUCUGCAUUAUCUUAGUCAUAAUAUUUCUUACUGGGCUAGUUGAGCUCACCCUUUUGCUUUCAUUGUUCUCUUCAGGAAAUGAGAACGUAGCAGAGACUAAUCGGGGAACGGAGUGACGGUCCAGAUGAUAUCAUUAGUAGUCCUCACUAUUCUACAAAAUAAUGUGAUAAUAAAUGUAUUGAGGACUUAUUUUGAGUUUGAAUAUUGUCUAGAAGACAAUAUUUGUAUUAAAACUCACAGCUCAUGUUGUAUAUUUAAGGUUGUAUUUGUAUUCUGUACCAUGUAUUUAGCGACUCAGAAUAGGUGAUGUAUACCUAUUUUGGGGGCGUUACAGUUGGUAUCAAAGCUUAGGGAUAUGAUCCCUGGCUAAGAUGUGAGACUGGAACUAGGAGGGGAGAGACGGGGAAUUCCUUCGUUAAUAUGACCUAAUUAAGUUUAUUUGGUAUUUAAUUGGCCGGUCAGAGUAUAGGAAUAAUAUUUACAUGUUAAUUAACCUUUGUUUUGUGGCAGUAUCUGAAAAUGACAUCCGAGAAUGUUGAGAAUAGCAAUGGAGCACAUGAGACCGUUGAGUCUCCACAUAUCAAUAAUCAGGAUAAUAUGCAUCAGGAAGGCGACAAUCCUCAUGCAAACAACAACACUGACCAAAUGAUAAAUGAUGGAAUGUUUAGAGGCUUUAUGCAAUUCAUGCAACAUAAGGCGAGAGCGACUCCUAUCCAAAAUGUAGGUAGAAACACUAGACACUCUCGGACGGUCACCGCUAAAUAGUUCAAGGAGCUGGGACCAUCAAAGUUUAUUGGAGAGCCAAAACCACUUAAGGCGGAAGUGUGGUUAAAGCAGAUCACCAAGAUAUUUGAUGUCUUGGGAUGCUCCGAGGAGCAAAAGGUUCCCUUUGCCACCUUUAUGUUUCGAGGAGAGGCAGAUUACUGGUGGGAAUCGAUAAAGCGUACUCAACCUGCCACACUGAAGAUGUCUUGGGAGAAGUUCCAAGAACUAUUCAACGAAAAGUACUUUCCCGAAAGUAUUCGUCACAUGAAAGAGGUAGAGUUCAUCAAGUUGGAGCAGAACAAUAUGACCGUGUCGCAAUACGAAGCUAAGUUUGCCGAGUUGUCCCGGUUUGCGUCUCACUUGGUUGAUAAUGAGGAGAGAAUGAUGCGGAUGUUUCUAAGAGGUUUGAAACCCGAUAUACGUCAAUACUUAAUUUCUCACAAACUGUGUUUGUAUUCAGUUAUUGUUAAUAGGGCUCAGUUAUAUGAACACGAUAACGAGUCAAAUAAACCAAGAGAAAGCAGACGACAAAAUGAUAAUACUAGUGGUAGCAGUUGUAAAACCCCAACUUAUUAUAAAUAAAAUCGAAUUUCCUCUAUUUAUUAUUGUGAAUAAUAAGGUGAUAAUUUGAUAUAAUACUUUGGUUAUGGGUGAAAUGUGCAAAUUUUGUAAAAUAAGCAAGUGGUUAUAAAAUAUUCAUUUUGUUGGGGAAUAUUCGUUUGGUCGUGGAAUAUUCUUGUUGUCGGGGAAUAUUCGUACGACGACGCAACCAUUUGUGGGCCCCAUAACGGAUAACUGUCGAAUGAAGAAAACUACAAGUUUGAGCUUUUAUAAAUAACGGCGUAAUUGUUACCGUUAACACUGUUGGAAUACCUGGUGGUUAAAAUAGAGUAAAAUGCGUGGUUACACAGUAGCACACGGUAUUGCAUAGUAUUUUUGAAAUUAUUGAUUCUUACGUAAGAAGGAACUACUCAAUAAUUGUUACAGUAAUUACUGUUCAAUAUUUUAUUUUAUUGAUUCAAUAGUUGUUGCAUUGAUAUUUUAUAUUAUUGUUGUUCAAUAAUUGUCAUUGCACAUUAUUUCCCAUUAUCAGAUCAAUAAUUCAUAUUAUUUGAAUAAUAUUAUUAGAUAACAUUAUUGGCAAUGUCUAGAAAGUUCUGUCAAAGAGAGGUUUGGUCACCUAAUUGCGCGCCAGUAAGGAGAAAUCCUUAUCGGAAAGCCCCCUCUUUCUUGGGAACUGCCUGGUUGUCAUUAUUUUGAUUCUGUAAUAUUAUUUGUAAAUAAUUAAUUAUUGAUUUAUAUGAUAAGGAAAUAUUUAUUUGAUGUGGAUAUAAAUGAUGGAUAUAUUUAUUGUGGUUAUAAAUGAAGGAAAUAAUGCUGAGGUGUUUUAUUAGUAUUUUGUCAAAUUGGAAGUAUUAAAAAUCAUCCGUUUGUGGAUUUUAGAUUUUUUCUAUCUGGAAUUUGGAAACACUUUAAGCUACAAAGUUGUAGAGAAUUCGAUUUCAUGAGGAAUGGACAUAAAAUUCGUAUUUUUCCGAUAAACGGGCUAUUUUCUAUGAAUUACUGAAGUUCCAGAAAAUAAAAUGAUUUUUAUUUAAAUGGGGUGUGACCCACUUUUGGUUGGUAUUGAAUGCACAUGGGCUGCUAUUUUUUCUUCCGAAAUGGCUGCUCAUCAAUUCAAUUGAAGCAUGCAUAGAGAUUUUAAAAAAAUAAUAAUAUUAAUUUAUUAUUUUAGUCUCCUUUGGUGUUCUAGCAUUUUCCUAUAAAUAGGCGAUUGCUUAGGUUAGAAUUGAAAAUCACACCAGAAAUAAGUUUUCUUUCUUUCUAUAUUUUCGAGCGUAUUUUUGUGAGUAUUUAUAUACUUUGAGAGUUGUUGUUCGGUACAAGCUUCCUUCGGCUUUAUAUCCGAUAUUGCGAUCAGAAGUACCGUUAUUUUGAGGUAAGGGAUGUUAUUUUAUUCCUAAAUGAUGUUAUUCUUUCAAUAUCAUUAUACUGAAAUGUUGGUAUGGAUUUUAUUGUGGAAUUUCUAUCUUUUUGUGUCGGGGUUACUAUUCACAUAUACGAUACUAUUCACGUAUACGACACUAUUAACCGAAAAAUGAAAUUUUCUUCUUUUUGUCCAAGAUGUCUAUUAUGGUUACUAUCUUUGAUUGUAUCCAUGUUUUGAUCUUUAUUUUUGAAUUCUGCUUCAAAAUUGGUUAUUAUGGAGUAUUAUUGAACUUGGAUAAACUGUAAUACGAAUCCCUAAUAUUUGUUCUUUUACCUCACAGGAUUCAUUUUCUUUAAGAUAUUUUUCAUCAUCCUCAGUCCUAAAUGAUGAUAGUGUAACGCCCGAGAAAAUUAGAUUUUUGAGAAUUAAAUUUUUAUUUUUAUUAAAUGAAUUUAAUUGAUUAUCUAUGGAGCAAGCUAAUCGAAGGUCGUUCUAUGACCUAGAAAUGUCAGAACAUCGUAGGAUUUUGGCUACGUGGUAGAAUUAAAGUGUUUUAAUUUCCAAGAUGAAAAUAAAAGUUUUCCGAGAAAGUUUCCGAAAAACACUAUUCACGCAUUUCUGCUCGGGAAUUAUUUUUGAACUUCCGAGAAAUACGUAACGAUAGAAUAUUGAGAUGAGAAGGAAUAUCUAAUAAUAUUUCAGUUAUGGAAAACGUAAUAUUUCGCCUGUGGACUUAAUUUGAGAACGUUAGGAAAAUCAAGUGUUAAGAAGUUAGUGUAAUAAUUGUAUGAUAAGUAAAUUGUGCGAGGUAGAGUAUACGAGUAUGAUACGAGGUAUUAUAUGAGUAUGUAUGAAUGAUGGUAUAACGCAUAUCAUGAACUAGUAUAUGAGUUAGAAUACAAUAAUUAUACGUAUAAUACGUUAUAAGGCUUUAAGCCAAAUGUAAUGGAUUUGUUGAAUUGUGUAGGAAAUAUAUGUAUUGUCCAAUGGGAUUAAUGAUAAGGCCCAAAUGUAGGAGAUGGUUAAGUCCAAUAUGAAUUAAUAUGAAAGUCCAAAGUAAUUUAAUGUGCAAGCCUAAGUGUUUGUAAUGUAAAGCCCAAAGAUUUAUUAAUGAAGCCCAAUGUUUGUUUAAUUACAAGCCCAAAGUAAAAUUAUGCUAGAAACCCAAAUGAUUAAGUAAGUUGAUUAAGCUAAGGCCCAAAGUAAUUAUCCAAUGGGUAAAAACCAUGGAGCAACCCAUGGAUGAUCCAAUGUGAUGAACAAGUAAACUUAGAGGCUAAGUUAGUGUGGUGAGCACACAAAGUGAUUAAUGUGAUAAUCAAGUAUACUUAAUGAUUAAGUAAGUGUGGUGACCAAGUGUUGUGGUGAGCAAGUAGACUUAGUGGCCAAGUUUACUUAAGCCUUAAGUUAGGAAUAGUAAGGAGGUGAUUAAGGAGGUGGGAUGGCCUAAUAACCAAACUACCCUAACCUUAGAAAUCCUAUAAAUAGCAAGCUUUAUUUUCAUUUGUUGGUUAUUAGUUUUUCAUCAAAUAAACACAUAAGUUGAGAGCUUAUUUGGUUAAGAGAAUAAGCACUUAUAAAGUUAGACUUCUAUUAUUAGAUUUUCCACAACAACUUAUAGCUUAAUGGCUUGAGAGAAAAAGCUAGAGUUCUUAUUAAGCAAGAAGCAAGAAGAGGAUUGAGGUUUAGCAAGUGAUCAUCAAAGGGUAAGCAACCUUAAUCCUUGAUUCUCUUUCUCUUCCAUUGUUAGAGAAGGGGGUAUUGGUAGAACUAGUAUGUUAAGGAAUGAUAAACCAAAGGGCUUAAGUCUUAAUAAGCCGUAUAAAUUAUGAAUAAGCUAUUCGUAAUCAUUUAAGUUACGAACUUAUGAAGAACAAUAAUGAAAGUAUAAGAACUUGUAAGAAGUGGUAAUAUGUUUACAUUAAGAAGUUAACAUGAUUAAUAAGAUGUAAGAAUAAGGAUAUAAGGACUUAACUUGUUAAUAAGUUAUAAGCAAUGAAAUCAAGUAUGUUAUACUUUCAUAAGUAGUUUAUAAGUUUAUGAGUUUUGAACUUAUUAAGAACAAAUAAUAACUUAUCAUGUAUAUAAGUUAACAAAGCAUGUAUGUCAAGAUGAUAGUAUGAUGGAUUGAAUCCAAUUGAAACGGUUUAAAAAUCUCAAGUAACGAAGUUUCGCCAGAAUUUACACGAUUAGACGACGAUCGUCGAAUUUGUGAAAUUCUCAGAAUAGAAGUCGAAUUUUGAUAUUGAGCUUGGAAACAUUGGUUUUCAAUGGAGACAAGUCGUAUUUGUCAUUAUAGAGUUGCGGACUCGAAAAUGGCUCGAUUCCGAAUUAGAACGAAGAAACGAGCAUUGAACGUUCAUGAACGUUUAUCAUUUUCGUUAAAAAUGGACUAAUAGGUGAAUUUUUAGUAAACGAAGUCGAAUAGAUAAAAUUCUUGAAUGAAUGCAUAGAAUACGUAAUUUAUGAACCGUGGGCUCUUGAACGAGCCAAUUCAGACUUAUAACGAAGAAGUUACGUGGCCAGGAAUCUCACUAAAAGAAAAAUCUAUCAAAAUUUGUAUGAUACACAGAGUCGGCGCCGUGGUGCGACUCAAGGCAGGAAUGGCCGGCACUGCAGCGCGAGACCGGACAUUCGCCCCUGUUAACUGGCGCUGCAGCGCGACCAAUUACACUAGGAAUGGCGCUGCAGCGCCGUGACCGAAAUUUUGAAACCUAAAGCCCACGUCGCGGCGCGAGCCCAAGAGAAAAAGAUGGCGCCUCAGCGCUAGCACUAGGUCAUGUACAGUAAUAAAGGAUUACAAGUAAAGAGAUAGAGAUAAGUAAUUAGUAAUGAACUAAUACAAUAAUAAACUUAAUGGAGCAUAAUUGCAAACCUUAAGUAAUACACUAAAGGUUAAAGAUAAGUCGGCUAUGAACAUAAAUGGUAUGCAAUAAAUGUACUUAACCAAUGACGAUCGAGUUUCGAUUAAUAACGUAAGGACGUUAGUAAGCCGUGAGGAAGGAUAAUUAACUCAAACCGAGUUGUAAUAAUGAAAUAAUUUCAGUUAAAUUAUAGAAGAGAACGAAGUUGGUAAGAACGAUGUAAAAGAAACCUGGGGAAUGGUAGUAUUGAGCCGGAACCAAUAAAUAACAAAUCUAAUACGGGAUUAGAUUGAGCAAAAGGGUAAGAUUCUUUAGGAACCAAGUAUGUUCAUUCAUGACCUAAUGAGGUAUGUUAUGUGAUUAUGUGUUGUAGAGACUGUAAAGACUCAAAGGAAAUAUAAUUAUUCGGUAGCAGACGCUGAAGGAAAGUUUUUCUAAACGCUUGUCUAACCCUCGUGUUAGCCAGGUUUUCAAAUGAUUCAAGUUAUGAGAUGCAUGUAUGGUUUUAAAGAAAUAGUCGAUGCCCGUUUUAACUUGGCUAGACUAAUCUUGAUAAGUUGAUUGAUUUAUUUACAAGUCUUUCAAUAUAGAAUUGCUAACUCUAUCUUAUGCCAACUCUUUGGUACGGAUACAAGGUAAGCUUGAAUAUGUAUAAACAAAUAUAUUUUCAUCGAUUAUUCGAUGGGCACGUGAGGUUGCCACAACUUAAACGUAUACACGUUUAACGGAUGUAGUGUUGAUCAACAUAGGGUACUAUAGGCUGAUCACCUAGAUGAACUUGUAAGCUAUGUCGAACUUACGGACUUCGUGCCGGGUUGUCCUUUUCAAAGAAACUAUAAGACGUUCACAUCUUGAACUAGAAUUGAUGAUUCAUGGAAUAUUGUUAUUGAAAAACGUUUUGAAGGAAAAGGAAAGCUAUUUUGAAUUAUUGAUUGUACUUCGUAACUAUCAUCCGGUUAUUGAAGAUAUAUGAUUCCUAUGUUUCAAGCAUGCUUUUAAAAUGAAAUUGUUGUACUUGCUGAGCUUAUUAUGCUCAUUCUUGCUUGAACCAUAUGAAUGCAGCUUAGACGAUAUGACCAAGAGAUUCGACAAGGAUAAAGCGAAGGCUAAAGCAAGUUUGUAGCUUACCUAUGUAAUAGUAUAGGUUUGUAAUGAUAAUAUUUGAUAUUAUAACAAAAGCAAAUGUAACAGUUAUAACAAACCUGGGGAAUGGUAGUAUUGUUUUGGAAUAUAUAUAUAUAUAUAUAUAUAUAUAAGACAGAUUCGUUCUUUUGAGGCUUUUCAAUUGAAUGUUUGUAUGAACUGUAGCAUCAUGGAGCACCAUCUGUCGGGUUGAAAGAGACCCGGAUUUGGAGGCGUCACAGAUAUAAUUGAAUAUCUUUGGCCUGUAGUGCAAAGAUGAAUGAUUACCUAAUGAAUAUCUUUGGCCUGUAGUGCAAAGAUGAACAGGUGUUGAGAUGAACAUGACCAACUGGUGAUACAAAUGAAUAUCUUUGGCCUGUAGUGAAAAGAUGAAUAUUCUAUUCAACAUGUAUAUUGAUUGAUAGCAAUAUGUCCUAGUACAUCUCCAUGGGGUGCUCCUGUGUUAUUCAUAAAGAAGAAAGACGGGACUAUGUCGACUUUGUAUCCGCUACCUCGCAUAUAUGACUUGUUCGACCAGUUACAAGGAGCACAAUUCUUUUCAAAGAUCAAUCUUCGUUCUAGAUAUCAUCAGCUGAAGAUUAAAACUGAGGAUAUUCCAAAGACUGCCUUCAGAACUCGGUACGGGCAUUAUAAAUACUUAGUCACAUCUUUUGGAUUGACUAAUUCUCCUGCUGCUUUUAUGGAUAUGAUGAACAGUGUGUUCAAAGAAUAUUUGGAUCAGUUCGUUGUUGUCUUUAUUGAUGACAUCCUCAUCUAUUCCAAAAGCCUUGAAGAUCAUGAGCACUAUUUGAAGUUGGUACUGCAAAGGCUUCGUGAUAACAAGAUAUAUGCCAUGCUGAAGAAAUGUGAGUUCUGGCUUGAGGAAGUAGCAUUCCUUGGGCACGUAGUGUCAAAACAUGGAGUAUCUGUCGACCCAGUGAAGAUUGAAGCCAUACAAAGUUGGGAGCAACCGAAGUCGGUAACUGAAGUGCGUAGCUUUCUGGGCUUAGUUGGUUAUUAUCGGAAAUUCGUGGAAGGAUUUUCUCGAAUCGCUACUCCGUUAACUCAGAUGACUCGUAAAGAUACACAAUUCGGUUGGAGCGAGGAUUGCGAGAAGAGUUUUCAAGAACUCAAGAGAAGACUCAUUUCGGCACCUGUUCUGACAAUACCAUCUAGUUCGGAUGGAUUUGUUAUCUACAACAGUGUUUCAGGCAAAGGGUUAGGAUGUGUUCUCAUGCAACAUGGGAAAGUCAUAGCCUAUGCCUCGCGACAACUUAAAGAAUAUGAGAGGAAUUAUCCUACUCAUGAUUUGGAGUUGGAAGUAGUCAUUUUUGCAUUGAAGAUCUGGAGACACUACCUGUAUGGGGAGAAAGUGGAGAUCUAUACAGAUCAUAAAAUCCUCAAAUAUUUCUUCACCCCAAAGAAACUCAACACGCGACAACGACGUUGGCUUGAGCUGUUGAAAGAUUACGAUCACACCAUCCAAUAUCAUCCUAGAAAAACAAGCGUGGUAGCUGACGCAUUGAGUAGAAGAUCAUAUGCGGGUACGAGUGCAAUGUUGUUAACACAAAGGUCCAUUUUGUAUAACUUUCAAAGGAUGGAGAUAGAGGUAAAGGCUCCAAGUACCCAUGUGAUGAUAUCAAAUAUACGAGUAGAACCGACUUUAAUCGAUAAAGUUAAAGCUGCUCAAGCUAUGAAUAUGGAGCUGAUGCGUAUGUAGAAGAAAGUGCAAGAAGGUGCUAUUCCAGAAGCAAGAAUUGAUGCAGAAGGAAUACUUAGAGUCAACUCCAGACUUUGUGUUCCUAACGAUUCUGACUUGAAGCAUAGAAUCAUGAUGGAGACACACAACAGACCGUUUGCAAUCCAUCCUGGGAGUACCAAAAUGUAUCAUGAUCUUCGACAUACAUUUUGGUGGAACAAUAUUAAGAGAGAGAUCACGAAGUUUAUCUCGAGGUGUUUAACUUAUAAACGUGUAAAGGCAGAGCAUCAAGUGCCCAAGGGUCCAUUACAACCACUUGAGAUUCCGAAAUGGAAGUGGGAACACAUUACUAUGGAUUUCAUUACGGGUCUUCCCAAGGUUUCUCAAGGCAUAGAUGCGAUUUGGGUAAUUGUUAAUAGAUUAACCAAGUUUGCCCAUUUCUUGCCUAUAUGAGAGACUUAUUCCCUUGAACGUCUUGUUCAUAUGUACGUAAAUGAGAUUGUGAGAUUGUAUGGCAUGCCAGUAUCCAUAGUUUCGGAUCGUGACCCAAGAUUCACUUCACGAUUUUGGGUUAGCUUGCAGAAAGCUAUGGGCACGGAUUUAUGAUUCAGUUCAGCAUACCAUCCUCAAACGGACGGGCAAUCAGAGAGGACUAUUCAAACUCUUGAAGAUCUAUUAAGACUAUGUGUCCUAGAUUUCAAAGGGAGUUGGGAUAAGUACCUACCAUUGGUGGAAUUCUCCUACAACAACAGUUAUCAGGCAAGUAUAGGUGUGGCUCCAUUUGAAGUAUUAUAUGGACGAAAGUGUCGCUCUCCAGUAUGCUGGGAUGAGGUGGGAGAAGCAACGUUGUUGGGACCAGAAUUGAUACGCAUGACUACAGAAAAGAUACAAACGAUUCGACAACGUAUACAAACGGCACAGGAUCGACAAAAGAGUUAUGCGGAUCUUCAUCGAAAAGACGUGGAAUUUAAUAUUGGGGAUCAUGUAUUGUUAUGUAUUGCUCCAUAGAAGGGAGUUACAAUAUUUGGGAAGAGGGGAAAGCUUAAUCCAAGAUUUGUUGGUCCAUUUGAGAUUCUUGACCAAAUAGAAAAUGUGGCCUAUAGACUCACAUUACCUCCAAGCAUGUCUCGUGUUCAUAAUGUUUUUCACAUAUCUAUGCUUCGUAAAUAUGUGAAAGACCCGAACAACAUUAUUGAGUUAGAACAAGACGAGAUAGCCAUUUAACAUACGAGGAGGUACCUGUUAAGAUCUUGGAUAGGAAAGAGCAUGUCCUACGCACCAAGGUUAUACCACAAGUUAAGGUGUUGUGGAGAAACCAUGUUAUUGAAGAAAUGACCUGGGAGUUGGAAUCAGAAAUGAAAGCGAAGUAUCCUCACCUUUUUGAAACACCAGGUACGUACAUCAAUUUCGAGGACGAAAUUUCAUAAGGAGGGGAGGUUGUAAGACCUCAACUUAUUAUAAAUAAAAUCGAAUUUCCUCUAUUUAUUAUUGUGAAUAAUAAGGUGAUAAUUUGAUAUAAUACUUUGGUUAUGGAUGAAAUGUGCAAAUUUUGCAAAAUAAGCAAGUGGUUAUUAAAUAUUCAUUUUGUCAGGGAAUAUUCAUUUUUGGGCCCCAUAACGGAUAACUGUCGGAUGAAGAAAAUGACAAGUUUGAGUUUUUAUAAAUAACGGCGUAAUUGUUACCGUUAACACUAUUGGAAUACCUGGUGGUUAAAAUACAGUAAAACGCGUGGUUGCACAGUAGCACACGGUAUUGCACAGUAUAUUUGAAAUUAUUGAUUCUUACGUAAGAAGGCACUACUCAAUAAUUAUUACAGUAAUUACUGUUCAAUAUUUUAUUUUAUUGAUUCAAUAAUUGCUGCGUUGAUAUUUUAUAUUAUUGUUGUUCAAUAAUUAUCGUUGCACAUUAUUUCCCAUUAUAAGAUCAAUAAUUCAUAUUAUUUGAAUAAUAUUAUUAGAUAACAUUAUUAGCAAUGUCUAGAAUGUUCUGUCAAGGAGAGGUUUGGUCACCUAAUUGCGCAUCAGUAAGGAGAAAUCCUUAUCGGAAAGCCCCCUCUUUCCUAGGAACUGCCUGGUUGUCAUUAUUGUGAUUCUGUAAUAUUAUUUGUGAAUAAUUAAUUAUUGAUUUAUAUGAUAAGAAAAUAUUUAUUUUAUGUGGUUAUAAAUGAAGGAAUUAAUGCUGAGGUAUUUUAUCAGUAUUUUGUCGGAUUGAAAGUAAUAAAAAUCAUCCGUUUGUGGAUUUCAGAUAUUUUCUGUCUGGAAUUUGGAAAAACUUAAAGCUACAAAGUUGUAGAGAAUUCCAUUUCAUGUGGAAUGGACAUAAAAUUCGUAUUUUUCCGAUAAACGGGCUAUUUUCUACGAAUUACUGAAGUUUUAGAGAAUAAAAUAAUUUUUAUUUAAAUUCGGUGGGACCUACUAUUGGUUGGUGUUGAAUGCAUAUGGGCUGCUAUUUUUUCUUCCAAAAUGACUGCUCAUCAAUUCAAUUGAAGCAUGCGUAGAGAUUUUAAAAAAUAAUAAUAUUAUUUUAUUAUUUUAGUCUCCUUUGGCGUUCUAACAUUUUCCUAUACAUAGGCGCUUAGGUUAGAAUUGAAAAUCACACCAGAAUUCUUUCUCUCUAUAUUGUCGAGCAUAUUUUGUGAGUAUUUAGAUACUUUUGUUGUUCGGUACAAGCUUCCUUCGGCUUUAUAUCUGAUAUUCCGAUUAGAAGUACUGUUAUUUUGAGGUAAGGGAUGUUAUUUUCUUCCUAAAUGAUGUUAUUCUUUCAAUAUCAUUAUACCAAAAUGUUGGUAUGGAUUUUAUUGUGGAAUUUCUAGCUUUUUGUGUUGGGGUUACUAUUCACGUAUACGGCACUAUUCACGAAUACAGCACUAUUCACUGAAAAAUGAAAUUUUCUUCUUUUUGCCUAAGAUGUCUAUUAUGGUUAUUAUCUUUGAUUGUAUCCAUGUUUUGAUCUUUAUUUUGAAUUCUGCUUCAAAAUUGAUUAUUAUGGAGUAUUAUUGAACUUGGAUAAACUAUAAUACGAAUCCCUAAUAUUUGUUCUUUUAUCUCACUGGAUUCGUUUUCUUUAAGAUAUUUUUCAUCAUCCUCAGUCCUAAUUGAUGAUAUAAUUGAAUAUCUUUGGCCUGUAGUGCAAAGCUGAAUGAUUACCUAAUGAAUAUCUUUGGCCCGUAGUCCAAAGAUGAACAGGUGUUGAGAUGAACAUGACCAACUAGUGAUACAAAUGAAUAUCUUUGGCCUGUAGUGCAAAGAUGAAUAUUUGAUUCCAGAUGUAUAUUGAUUGAUGUUACAGGGAUAAAAUAUUGAUGAUGGACUUUUAAAUCUUAGAAGAUAGUAGAAUUCUUUCUCUACUUGACUCUUCUAAUGGAUUGAUGUUUCCGCUGCGGUUGUUGAUCUAAAACUUGUUGUCUAUUGUAUUUUAUCAUAUUAUUCCCUGUUGAGGACUAAUGAUAAUUUAUUGUAUAUUAUCUUAGUCAUAAUAUUCUUUACUGGGCUAGUUGAGCUCACCCUUUUCCUUUUUGUUCCAUUUUUCUUCUCAGGAGGUGAGAACAUAGCAGGAACUAGCCGGGGUAUGGAGUGAUGGUUUAGGAUAGUGGUAUUAGUAGUCCUCACUAUUUUGUAAAAUAGUGUAUCAAUAAUUGUAAUGAGGACUCCUUUUGAGUUUGUAUACUCUCUAUUAGACAAUAAAUGUAUUCAAACUCACAGUUUAUGUGUUGUUGUAUUUUGCACGAUAAUUGUAUUACUGAAGUUGUAUUUGUUUUUGCACCAUGUAUUGGGCGACUCAGAAUGGGUGAUGUAUACCUAUUUUGGGGGCGUCACAGCAGUCAUCAAAGCGGUGACAACAAACGUGGAGGGAAUCAACAUGCCAGAAAUGGUAACCACUUCGGUGGUAAUCAUGGCCAAGACAAUAAGAAUGGACAUUUCAAGAAGAGGAGAUUCAACAAUGAUGGAAAGACGUCAGCAUCAACACCCGUUGUUAAGGAAGGAGAACGACCACCUAUCAUAUGCUUCAAAUGCUGAGGGGAAGGACAUAUCAGUUCAAACUACGCGAUGCCAUCCAAAGGGUGUUAUAAUUAUGGAAGAGAAGGUCACCUAGCCCUAUUUUGUCGUGCACCGAAGACAAGUCCAGUUGGAACGGUGACACAAAAUACCGUCCCAGACAAGUCAAAACCAGUAGUUCAAGGGAGAUCGUUUGUUGUGACCUCCCAGAAAGCAAGGAACCCGAACGAGGUCAUAACGGGUAAGCUUAUCAUAAACUCUAGCGAAGUCUAUACCUUAUUUGAUACCGGUUCUACCCAUUCUUUUAUUUCUCCUACUUGCGCUCAACGUUUAAAUUUGACUCCGGAGAAAUUAGACUUUGACUUAUCUGUUGAAACUCCGUUGGGAGAAACCUUCAUUACAUCCACUGUUUAUAAGUCUUGUUUGGUUCAAAUCGGUACCCUCACAUUACCUGUCGAUCUUAUUUCAUUGAAAAUACUUGCAUUUGACGUAAUUCUAGGGAUUGAUUGGUUAACUACUCAUCAUGCAAAAAUUGAUUAUUUUCGUAAGGUUGUUAGCUUUCAUAUUCCUAACCAACCUAUUAUGCGAAUUCAAGCAACCAAACCAUUAAAAUCAAUCACUGUCAUCUCAAGCCAUAAAGCUAUUCGUUUAUUGAAAAACGGAUGUCAAGCUUUCUUAGCUCAUGUCACGGAUUUAAACAAAAAUACGUCAGAUUUGAAUGAUAUUUCUGUUGUUAAAAAUUUUCCUGACGUAUUCCCCGAAGAACUUCCUGGCCUACCCCCGGAGCAUGAAAUCGAGUUUGGUAUCGACCUUGAACCCGGUACAAAACCCAUUUCCAAAGCCCCACAUCAAAUGGCUCCUAUUGAACUUCAAGAGUUAAAGACCCAAUUGCGGAAAUUGUUAGACAUUGGUUUCAUUCGUCCUAGUACGUCUCCUUGGGGUGCUCCUGUUUUAUUCGUGAAGAAGAAAGAUGGAAGUAUGCGACUUUGUAUUGAUUAUCGGGAGUUGAAUCAUGUCACCAUCAAAAUAGGUACCCAUUGCCUCGCAUUGAUGACCUAUUUGACCAGUUGCAAGGAGCACAAUUCUUUUCAAGGAUCAAUCUUCGUUCUGGAUAUCAUCAGCUGAAGGUUAGAACUGAGGAUAUUCCAAAGACUGCCUUCAGAACUCGGUACGGGCAUUAUGAAUUCUUAGUCAUGUCUUUUGGAUUGACUAAUUCUCCUGCUGCCUUCAUGGAUAUGAUGAACCGAGUAUUCAAGGAAUAUUUGGAUCACUUUGUGGUCGUCUUUAUUGAUGACAUCCUCAUAUAUUCCAAAAGCCGUGAAGAUCAUGAGCAACACUUGAGGCUGAUACUCCAAAAUCUUCGUGAAAACAAGCUUUAUGCCAAGUUGAAGAAAUGCGAGUUCUGGCUUGAGGAAGUAGUAUUCCUUGGGCACGUAGUAUCAAGUCAUGGAAUAUCUGUUAACCCGACAAAGAUUGAAGCUAUUCAAAGUUUGGAGCAACCUAAAUCAGUGACCGAAGUACAUAGCUUUCUCGAAUUAACUGAUUAUUAUUGGAGAUUCGUGGAAGUGUUUUCUCAAAUCGCUAGUCCAUUAACUCAGUUGACUCGAAAAGAUAUAAGCGUGGAAUGUGAGAAGAGUUUUCAAGAACUCAAGAGGAGACUCAUUUCAGCACCUGUUCUGACAAUACCAUCUGGCUCGGAGGGAUUUGACAUCUACAGUGAUGCAUCGGGCAAAGGGUUAGGAUGUGUUCUCAUGCAACAUGGGAAAGUCAUAUCCUAUGCCUCUCAGCAACUCAAAGAAUAUGAGAGGAAUUAUCCUACUCAUGAUCUAGAGUUGGCAUCUAUUGUCUUCGAACAUAAAAUUUAGAGGCAUUACUUGUAUGGGGAGAAAGUGGAGAUCUUUACGGAUCAUAAAAGAAUCAAAUAUUUCUUCACUCAAAAAGAACUCAACAUGCGACAACGACGUUGGCUUGAACUGCUGAAAGAUUAUGAUCACACUAUUCAAUACCAUCCUGGUAAAGCGAACGUAGUAGCUGACGCAUUGAGUAGAAGAUCAUAUGCGGGUAUGAGUGUGAUAUUGUCAAUGCAAAGGCCCAUUUUAUAUGACUUGCAAAGGAUGGAUAUAGAGUUAAAGACUCCAGGGCCCAACGUGAUAAUGGCGAAUAUAUGAGUAGAAUCGACUUUAAUCGAUAAAGUUAAAGCUACUCAAGCUAUAGACAUGGAACUGAUGCGUAUGAGGAAGAAAGUGCAAGAAGGUGUUAUGCCGGAAGCAAGAAUCGAUGAGGAAGGAAUACUUCGAGUCAACUCCAGACUUUGUGUUCCUAACGACCCUGAUUUAAAGUAUAAAAUAAUGAUGGAGGCGCACAACACACCGUUUGCAAUCCAUCCUGGGAGUACCAAAAUGUAUCAUGAUCUCCGACAUACAUUUUGGUGGAGAAAUAUUAAGAGAGAGAUCGCGGAGUUUAUCUCAAGGUGUCUAACUUGUCAACGAGUCAAGGCGGAGCAUCAAGUACCAAAAGGUCCAUUGCUACCACUUGAAAUUCUAGAAUGAAAGUGGGAACACAUUACCAUGGAUUUUGUUAUAGGUCUUCCCAAGGUUUCUCAAGGCAUAGAUGCAAUUUGGGUCAUUGUUGAUAGAUUGACUAAGUCGGCUCAUUUCUUACCAAUACAAGAAACAUAUACACUUGAACGUCUUGCUCGAAUAUACAUAAAUGAGAUUGUAAGACUGUAUGGUAUGCCAGUAUCUAUAGUUUCUAAUCGAGACCCAAGAUUCACUUCACGAUGUUGGGUUAGUUUGCAGAAAGCUAUGGGCACGGAUUAACGAUUUAUCUCGGCAUAUCAUCCUCAAACGGACGGACAGUCGGAGAGGACUAUUCAAACUCUUGAAGAUCUAUUAAGACUAUGUGUCCUUGACUUCAAGGGAAGUUUGGACAAGUUCUUACCAUUGGUGGAGUUUUCCUACAACAACAGUUAUCAAACAAGUAUUGGCAUGGCUCCAUUCGAGGCGUUGUAUGGAAGAAAGUGUCGUUCUCCAGUAUACUGGGAUGAGGUGGGUGAAGCAACGUUGUUGGGACCGGAGUUGGUACGUAUGACUACGGAAAAGAUUCAAACGAUCCGACAACGUAUAAAAACCUCACAAGAUCGACAAAAGAGUUAUGCUGAUCUUCAUCGAAAGGACGUGGAAUUCGAUAUUGGAGAUCAUGUGUUGUUACGUGUUGCUCCAUGGAAAGGAGUUACGAGAUUUGGAAAGAGAGGAAAGCUCAAUCCUCGAUUCAUCGGCCCAUUUUUAAUCCUCGAUCGAGUAGGAACUGUGGCCUAUAGACUCGCUUUACCGCCAAGUAUGUCUCGUGUUCAUAACGUUUUUCACAUAUCCAUGUUACGUAAAUAUGUGAAAGACCCGAACCACAUUAUUGAGUUAGAACCGGACGAAAUAGCGGAAGAUUUGACGUAUGAAGAGGUUCCUGUUCAAAUCUUGGAUAAGAAGGAACAUAUUCUACGCUCCAAGGUUAUACCUCAAGUCAAAGUUUUGUGGAGGAACCACGAUGUUGAGGAAAUGACCUGGGAGUUAGAAUCUGAAAUGAAAUCAAGGUAUCCUUACCUCUUCGACAUACCAGGUAUGUACCCUAAUUUCGAGGGCAAAAUUUCAUAAGAAGGGGAGGUUGUAAGACCCCAACUUUUAUGAAUAAAGAUGAAUUUUCUAUAAAUAUCAUUUUUGAAUAUUAUGGAGUAAAUUUGAUAUAAUAUUAUAGUUGUGGGUAAUAUUUAUAAAUUUUGCAAAGUACGCAAGUUGUUAUAUAAUAUUCGAUUGGUCGGGGAAUAUUCGUUUUAACAGCGAAUAUUUGUACGACAACACAAUCAUUGGUGGACCCCACAACAGAAUUAUCGGAUUAAGAAAAUGACAAAAAUAUUUUAUGAAAAUAACUGCGGAAGUUUUACCGUUAACUGUUGAAACACCCGGUGUUAAAAGUACAGUAAUACGCGUGGUUGCAUAGUAGCACACGGUAUUGAUUAUUGAUGCUUACGUGAGAAGUCACUCAGUUUUGUUCAAUUAUUGCUACAGUAACUGUUGCAUAGUAUCUCACGUUAUUUUAUUCAAUUAUUUCAAUAUUUUAUAUAUUAUUAAAUCAAUAAUUUAGACGACAAAGUUAUUAAUAUUAUUAUUUGUAAUAUUGACGAUGUCUAGAAGUUCUGUCAAAGAGAGGUUUGGUCACCUAAUUGUGCGCCAAUAGGGAGAAAUCCUUAUUGGAAAGACCCCUCUUUCCUGGGAACGAACUGGUCGAUUAAUAUUGUGAAUUAUAAUAAUGGUGAUAAAUGUUGUUUUAUUAUUAUUAUAAAUGUAAUAAAACAGAAAACUUUUUAUAUAAAACAGAAUACUUUUUAUAAAGUUUUGUUUUAUUUGAUUAUAAAUAGAAUAUAUUAUAUUUUAUUAUGCAUAGUGUUUUCAUAGUUAAAACUUUUUAUAUAAAAUAGGAUACUUUUUAUAAAGUUUUGUUUUAUUUGAUUAUAAAUUCAAUAUAUUAUAUUUUAUUAUGCAUAGUAUUUGUAUAGUGCCUGUAUAGUAUUUGCAUAGUAAAUUUUUUUAUAUAAAAUAGAAUACUUUUUAUAAAGUUUUGUUUUAUUUGAUUAUAAAUANNNNNNNNNNNNNNNNNNNNNNNNNNNNNNNNNNNNNNNNNNNNNNNNNNNNNNNNNNNNNNNNNNNNNNNNNNNNNNNNNNNNNNNNNNNNNNNNNNNNNNNNNNNNNNUUAUUUUCUUUCAAUACUCGUAAGGGUUGUUAUUCCAUUCUUUAUUAUUCUGUUGGAAUAACCUGUCUGUGCGGUCUAUCACAUGCCUGGUGAAUUCUGUUGUUAUUCCAUUCUUUAUUAUUCUGUUGGAAUAUCCUGUCUGUGCGGAUUACGCAUGACCUGGUUCCAUUCUUUAUUAUUCUGUUGGAAUAACUUGUCUGUGCGGAUUCGCACGCCUGGUGAAUUCUUCUAUUAUUCCAUUCUUUAUUAUUCUGUUGGAAUAAUCUGUCUACGUGGAUUACUGCAUGGCAAAAAAAAUCCAUUUGCGGUUUCAUAUAUUCUAUUAUACUCAGUUGGUUAAUGUUUUGGCUUCUAUACUCCAUGAAAUUAGUGGAAUAUCCUUGAUAUUUGCGCUUCAUCCAGUAUCUUUUCAUGGAAAUAUUCUUCUGAGCAUUCUUGAAUUUUACUCCACAAAACAGUAUCAUGUUGACAAUUUGGACGUUAUUGAUUUCUGGAUAAAUUAAAUUAUAAAUCUUAAAAAAAUUAUCCUUGAACUUGUUUUAUUAAAUUCUUAUACCAUUGUCAUCAUCCUCAUGUUUAUAAUAUGUUGAAAGUCAUCUGUGGCCUGUAGUGCAUAGAUGGACUUGGAAUGAUUAUGACCAGGGAUUAUUCGGUAUAAUCAUGACCGUAAUGUUACAAAUGAUGUGGUAAAAAAUCCUCAUUGGCCGUAGUGCAUUGAUGGACAGUGGUUGGCAUGAUCAUGACCAUUGAUGAAUACACGAAUAUCUUUGCCCCGUAGUGCAUGGAGAAUUUGUGGUCGUGAUACUAAUGAAUAUCCUUAGCCGUAGUGCAGGGAUGAUGUUGAUUAUUUAUUAAGCUGAUUCUUAACGAUAAAAGUAAUGAAAAACCUUUUAAAUCAUAGAAGAUAGUAGAUUUUAUUCUCUACUUGACUCUUCUAAUGGAUUGCUUGUUCCGUUGCAGUUAAACUUGAUGUUUGUUAUAUUUUAUCAGUUUAACACUGCUGAAGGCUAAUGAUAAUUUAUUCUAUAUUAUCUUAGUCAUAAUAUUUCUUACUAGUCUAGUUGAGCUCACCCUUUUUCUUUCAUUGUUCUCUUCAGGAAAUGAGAACGUAGCAGGUGUGACGCCCCCAAAUCCGAGUAUCUUCCAACCCGAAAGAUGGUGCUCCACGAUACUACAAUCCAUACAAUCAUUCCAUUGAGAUAACAACAAAAUGAGUGUAAUUACUAUCUUUGUAAUACAUUUGUAAUAAAUCAUUUCCCAAGUUCAUUAACCGAAUACAUUCGUUGUUCUUCGUAAGUAUAUUACAACCAAAUAUACUAAUAUAUUACAGGACGAUUAAUUGUCCAUCUUAGCCUUGCCUUUAUCUCUCUUAGAACUUUCAGUUCAUUCGGCUUUAGCUGCAAACAUAUGGUUCAAGCAAGAAUGAGCAUAACUAGCUCAGCAAGUCUUAACAAAGAAUCAUAUGAAUAUCAUAUUAACAAUUAAAUGAUUUAUUUCCAUAUCUAAACAAUUAUGUACGAAGCAGUAUGAAAUAUUUGACUAGUACUUCUCAUGUCAUAAUAACAAUUCCAAAGUAUAUAUAAUAGCUUAGGAAUGAUGGACCGGUCAAUAGACCAUGAACAUACUCUUUUCAUUUUCAUACUUGAAAAGGAUAUCCGGCACUAAGGCCAUCCAUCCGUCUUUACUUAUGAGCACUUUUAGGUGAUCAGCCUAUUGUACUCUAUGUUGAUCAACACCCUUACGUUAAACGUAUUUACGUUCAACAUUUGGCAACCUCGCGUGCCCAUCGAAUAAUCGAUGAAAAAUACUUUUGUUUGUACAUAGACAAACUUACCUUCUCAUCCGUACCAAAUACUGGGCAUAGGAUAGCGUUAACAAUUCUAUAUCAAAAGACUUGUAAACAAAUCAGUCAAUUCUUCAAUACUUAUCUAGCCAAGUUAAAAUAGUCAUCGACUCUUUCUUUAAUACCAUUCAUGCAUUGUAUAACAUGCAUCACAUAAAACUUGACUAACACGAAGGUUAGGCAAGCGUUAAGAAACACUUUCCUUCAAGCGUCUUCGAAUAUACAAUUCAACUAUUCUCAGUCUUUACAGGAUCUACAUGAUACAUUCACAUAGCACACUGUAAUUAGUUAUCAAACAAACUAACUUUACGGUUCUAACCAACUUCUUUCUCUUCUAUGUCUUAUUUGGAUUAACUUUGUUAUUAAAGUCGAUUUGAAUUUCUUUACUUCAUCACGGUUCGUUAACGUUUUUACGUUACUAACCGACAUUCAAUCAUUAUUGGUUAAGUACCAACGUUGAACGUCAUUUACAGUUUAUUUAUUACGUCUCCGCGUUCUUCGUUUAAUUUCUAUUAAACCUUACUAGAUCUUCUUACAUUAACACCUUAUAAGUGAUUUAAGGUCAGUCUUAUUAUGUACAUUAAGUACCUUCAAUGUCUUACUUUGGGUCUACAUUCAAUUGGAACAAAACCUAACUUGGUCAACAUUUUUCUACUGUCGGCGCUGCGGCGCGACAUCCUUUGUAUUCUAGUGGCGCUACGGCGCGAGUUAGCAGGGUACUCGGUCGAGUCUGGCGCUGCGACGAGACCACUUUACACUGGUUUUGGCGCUGCGGCGCCGAGUCUAUGCACCAGUUGGCCAAAACAGUUUUGUUAUUCUUAGGAAAUUCCCGGCUUCCUAAUUUGUUCGUUUUACAUCUGAAUUGACCCAUUCGAAAGCCUAAAACUCACAAAUUACAUCCUUUAUGUGUUCGUAUAAGAAUUUCACAUUUUCGAAUCCGUUAACUCAGAAUUCACCUUUGAAUUCAUUUUUAUGCAUUUGUUUAACGCUUUCGACCGUUCAAUACUGGUUUUCUUCGUUAUAAGUCGGAAUGCGACGAUUCUUUCACCAACGACUCUUAAUUACCUUAUCUCACGUGUUGACAUUGGAAACCAUUGUUUUCAAGUGACAUGACAACUUUUGACCUUUAAUCCGGGAUUUUUACAUUUUUGACGUUUAACGUCUAUUUUCGCAAAAUUCGUCAUAACAUUGUUACUCGUGUUCUAUAAGCCAAAUCAAAUGGAAAACUCCAUUGAUUCUUCAUAGUCAUCCUAACCAAACAAUAGGCACAUUCCUUAGCUAUAAUGGUUUUCAAAACGUUCAUCCCUAAACUAAGUUCACGUUCAAGACUUCUAUGUUUUUUUUAACUUACGUAAACACUUACGAUUUCUAUUUGGUCAUGACCUAUCAAUGAUUUGGUCAUUAAUAGACAUCCUUAUAUCUCCUCAAUAAACAUGCUCCACCAAUCUACAAUUCUUCUACGAGAAAUAAAUCGAAAAAGAUGAUGAUUACGGUUUAUGAGAAUUUACCUUUGAAGAAAUUAACGUUCUUGAUAAACGUCUAUUGGUUUGCUUGCAAGUAGAAGGAUUAAGCGUUUCUAGCUCUUUCUCUCUCUCAAUAUGUAUUGGUCAAGCUUUGUAAAACCUCAAAUAACCAACUCUUGCUUUGUAUAUAUAGGCAACCAACUAAGGGGCAAUAUAGUCCAUAUGGCACCUCCUUACUAUUACACCUCCUUUGCAACUUUGUCACCAAGUAAAGUACGUGGUGAGCAAGUUGUCUACCUUGCUUGGCCCACUCCCUUGUGGAUCAUACCAUGGGUUUCCCCAUGCGUUUUACCCAUCCCAUGACCCACCGGUUCGACCCGCGGUUUACUUUUUGGAUUGGGCCUGACAUAAAUUAAAGUUGGGCCUUAACUUGGGCUUGAACACUUAAUUCAUUGGGCUUGCUAUUGGUUUAAGUCCAAUUAGAUUAUACCAAACCCUUAACUCAUACUCCAUUUAUACAUCUCGUAUUCUAUACAUAUAACUCACGUAUUCUCUUCGUCUAAUACUCAUAUAUUAAUCGUAUUAUACGUCGUACUAUUUUUCAUACCAUACUCGUAUUUAUACUAGUAUAAUACUCGUAUUUCAUACGUAUAAUAUCUGAAACAACUAUACGCAUUGUAUUUCCCUUUCGGAAACCUCUUUCACAAACCCUUAGUUUUUACGUCCACAAGCGAAAACUUCGUUUGCCACAACAGAAUUAUUAUUGGAUAUUCCAUACUAUCUUAGUAUUCUAUCAUUACGCGUUUCUCAAAAUUUCAAACCCUAGCUCUGAAUGAAAUCGGAUGAAUAGUGUUUUUAUGCAAACAUUAUCGAAAAACCUUUGUUUUCGUCUGGAUAAUUCACAACCAUUAAUACUAGCACAAAGACAAAAUACUAACCACAUCCGUAUUUUCUAGGUCAUAGAACGACCUUCGAACGUCUUACUCGCAUAAUAAAUCAAUUAAAUUCAUUUAAUUCACAUAAUCAAAUAAAAAUUUAAUUCAUUCAAACUUCGAAAUUCUCGGGCAUUACAACAGGCACUAGUCGGGGAACAGAGUGACGGUCUAGAUGAUAGCAUUAGUAGUCCUCACUAUUCUAUGAAAUAGUGUGAUAAUAAAUGUGUUGAGGACUUAUUUUGAGUUUGAAUACUGUCUAGAAGACAAUAUUUGUAUUAAAACUCACAGCUCAUGUUGUAUAUUUAAGAUUGUAUUUGUAUUCUGUACCAUGUAUUUGGCGACUCAGAAUAGGUGAUGCAUACCUAUUUUGGGGGCGUCACAAAAAUGAUCUUAUUACUGAUAGGUUGCUAUAUAAAAGAUAAAACUAAGUUGAAUAAUUGUAAGCAGCAGACCGGGCAAGUAUCCUACCUUUGCAUUUACUUUAUACAAUGGACAUAAGUAAGAAAGUUUCAGAAUUAUAUUAUUAUUGUGCCAGAUUAUUAACCUUAUUGUUAUAUAUAUUAUAUCUGAUCAUUGUUUAUCAACAUAGUAUUAUAUUAUUAUUCAAAUAUUUAUUAAGUUCGUUAAUUUCUAUAUAUGGUUAUACAAGUGUCCUCACUUGGAUAAUCAUUGUAUUUAAUCAAAUGUUAAUACACAUUUAUAAAUUUCUAGUAUGUAUAUGUUAACUUAAAAGCCGUCUAAGCUAAUUGAUUUAGCUAGACACAAACUUAUAGAUUAUUAUUGAACAAGAUAAAACCUUACUAUUAUCCAACCGAAUUAUUUUGGUUUGGAAUCCCGACUAAGUAUGAACAUCCCGUACAUGUGAAAACUUUUUGUGCGCCAAAGGCGGAUAGAUGAAAGAUAAUAUCGUUAUUGCAUGUAGUAUUGAUCAAUACAGGGCAUAACGGGUUGAUCACCCCCCGUGCCUGUAAGUUAUGACGGUUUACAGAUGAAGUUCUGUUUAACCUUUUCAAAAAUAGAAAACAAUGUUCAUAGUCUAUCGACUAAUCCCUAGAUAUAGUCAGUACGUAGUUUCAAAAAUUUGAUAUAGAAUUAAUAUAUUAUUAUUUGUUCAGUUUACUUCACAACUAUUGAUUCGUUGUAGAAGUGUCGUACAAAGAAAACAUUUAAUCCUUUCAACUAAUAUUUAUAAUUUCUAUUACUUGCUGGGCACUCAAAUGGUCAUCCUUGCUUAAUUUAUAAUGUUUUCAGCUAAGUGUGAACAACCUGAAGGCUCUACUAAGAACAAGGGAAAAGGAAAGGUUACUGAAUGAGUUCUGUGUUAUCUUAUGUAAUAGUUUAUCUUUAUUAAGACUAUGAUACUUAUUAGUAUCAUGUAUUGUAAUGAAUGUAUUAAAGGGUACGCACUUGGGAUUAGACUCUGAUAAAUAUGUAAAUUAAGUUUGGUAUCUAUAUUAUUGUUGUUAUUAUUAGUAUUAUUUUCGCUCAUAGAAAUGGUAUCAUAAAGCACCGAGUUCGGGUUUCAAGUACCUGAAUUUGAGGGCGUUACAAGUUGGUAUCAGAGCUUUAGGGUUAGAAACCUUAGGUGGGAUAGACCUUAGGCUAUACCCUUAGAACAGAGGGAACGUUGAAAAUACAAAUAACUCAUAUCGAGUUUAAAAGGUGAUGAAUUGAAUAAAUUCAUCGUCCAACAAAAUAAAAGAUAACUUAUAUAAAACUAUUAUUUGCUGUGUGUAUAUACUAUAUGCUAAUCAGGAUAAUAUAUGUGUGUAGAUGUCAGGUGGAAAAGGUUUGUUAUAUGCUUAUAGCAUGAUGAAGGAUCAAAUUCAUACACCUGAGCUAAUAUCGAGGCCAAUAGCUGAAAUAGAGGCUCACAAUGAAGCCAACUCGGAUGAGGUGGUUAUUUUAGAAAACGUAGUACUAGAUCCAGAAAUGGUGGAAUUGACAGAUAAUGAUUUGGAUACUAAAGUUGAAGCUGAUCAAGCAUCAACGAAGGUGAUAAAUCUGAACGACAAGGUUUCUUCUUUGGAAAAACUGUGAGAAAUAGAAAAGUUGUUGAAUAGUCAAUUGCCAAAAGCCUUAAUCGAAACAAUGGAAGAACAAGAUAAGCUUAAAAUCCAAAUUGAUCAGAUGGGAACCAAAAAUAAUAUAUCGUGUGCAGCUCCGAAAAAGAAGGGGAAAAGAAAGAUAAAAGACCAUGACUUAGGAAGAUCCGAUACGAAGAAAUGGAAAAAGAUAUGUUACAUUUGCGGCUAUGAGGGAUGAUAAGUAGGUUUUAUACCUACUUAUCUGGUAUCUAUUACUUGAAUUAGUUGCUUAAACCUAUGCUUCUUAGUUAAUUUUCAUACAUUUUAUGUUAUUUUGUAGGCUAUGACAUAACAUUGGCAUGAAGAAGCAAGGGAAAGAAAUUCGGACAUCUUUUGGACCAAAAUACGCAAGCAAAUACAAAAAAAGAAUAUUGAAGGACUUUAAACACCACGUUGGAUGCAUGUUCUUGGCUUUGAGUUAGGAAUUUAUUGUAGAUCUACUUCUUAGCUUUCCAGAACAUCUUGAAUCAUCCCAAUCAGAGUUCAGAUGCGAGAGUUAUGGCCUUUUUAUCAACAAAGAUCAAAGCUAAGAGUUGUCAUGUUUGCCAUUUAUAUAACAUCUACUUCAAGCCCGAUUUCCACCUUUCUUAGGACGGAAUCUGUCAAUCUUCAAAGAAUGAAAUUUGUAGAUCUCGUCGAUAUCUUCGAUUGGAUAGGUGGCAGACCCCGUAACUCCUAGCAGAUCAAAAGGUAUGCCUAUUUUAUCAAAGGACGUCGCAGCAGAAAAUAGCGUAGCGCGGACCGCGCUAUGAAUGAACUAUGCAUAGCGCGGGGCGCGCUAGUCCACCAGAAAGUCGGCCACUGCAGUGCGGGGCAUGUCCAGAAUGACUAAGGGACAGCGCGGGGCGCGCUAGGCGGCGAGGGGGCAACCUUUUUGGGUUAUUUGGUGUCCAAUUUGAGCUAGAAUAGGAUUCUUAGUUACCUAACUUGCUAGGAUGUCCAUUAUAACUAUAAAUACAUGAUGAGAGACAUAAAAGAGGAGAAAUAGUCAAGUUAUGGGAAGAUUCCAUUAAAUUAGAUUAGAGUAGAUUAUGAUCAAAACCCUAGUUCUUAUGAGAUUGGGAGAUUGAAGUAACUUGGAGACCAUUGAAGAUUCAAAGUAGGAGCAAGGAGGGAGCAUCAAAUCUACAUACAAGAGAUUCUAUAUUCUCAUCUUCUUCUUCUAUUUUUGUCUUUGAAUGAUUAUUCAAUUGUGGAUUCUUAGUUUUAAUUCAAUGAACUAAUUCUUUGUUUGAGAUUACAAUGGAUCUUAUUGUGUAGUUUAUUUUAAUAUGUUUCACUAUCAAUUAUUAUGUUCUAUUGUGCGGAUUGUCUAUUGUGAUUUGGAUUUAAUUGCUUAAUUGUCUAGCUAAAAAUUACCGUGAUAAUCUAUAAGAACUAGAGAGAUAAAGUAUUGAUUUAGAUCUUAUCAUGAUAUCAUGUGUUUGUGAUUUCUGCAUAGAUGGAAUUCAUGAUUCGUGUUUAGGAUAGAGAUAUGCCUUUACGCCAUAUGUAAUCUUAUAGAGAACUUGUUCUUUAAAUCCUUUUUAAUUGUAAUUCACAUAGAGAUAUAGUGGAUUAGUUAAUUAGGGUGUCUUGCUUGAUUCUAUCAUCUGUGGAUUUAAGUGAGUAUGGGUAUUAUGCAUCGAGAAAUGGUUUUAUCUGCUUUAGUGUUUUUGAUUAACAAUUCAUGAUAUAAAAUAAUUGAUGAGAAGUGUGUUAACUUAUAUGAAGCAAUAAGUGAAGUUGUGAUCUUAAAUCUCCGUAAUCUUAAUUUAACUAGUAGUCAUUAGAAUUAGUUUAAUUAUAUAAUUUGAAAUUCAUUCGUUUAAAUAAGAUUGAGUUGGUUACGGGUUAGUACUUUGUGAUUUUUAUUAAACAAUUCCUCGUGGGAACGAUACUCUACUUUCACUUUAUUACUUGUUGACCACGUAUACUUGCGUGUUGUGCGUAAUUAGAUUUUAUCCAACAAGUUUUUGGCGCCGUUGCCGGGGAAUUAGUUAAUAUAUUUUUGCCAAUAUUAGCUUCAAUCAAAUUAGUCUUAAUUUAAACAAUUUUUUCCUUUUUAUUUAAUUCUCUUCCUAUUUUUCUUUCUUUUCAGGUAACGUGGCGGAAUUUAAUAAUCAAUGGCCGUAUACGAGAAUGACUCAGUCAAAGGGAUCGGGGAUUGAUGGUCUCAAUGCAUUUUCUGCAAUAUCAGCGCAACUUGAGACACUUUCGAGGAGCCACUACUUGCCUAGCGCGGGGCGCGCUAAGCCGUGUCUAUACCCAGCGCAGACCGCGCUGUUAGUUCCCAGAGGGCACAAUAGAUCUAGAAGGGGGCGGGGGUUGAAUAGAUCCUUUUUAUUUCAAAUACUUUUCUGGUUUAUGUUGUAUUGUUCAUAUUUAAGUAUAUGACAAACAUAAGAAUCUUUUCAAGCACAACGGAAUAAGUAAAAGAUUCCCCUUCAUUGGUAUAUUCAUAAUUAUACAUACAUUGUUCGUUGGGUUGGUUUAGUUGUAAGCAGUUAAAACAUACAUAGCAGUUAUAGCAGUUAUAGACAUAAUGUGAAUGACAUAAUAUAAAAGACACAAGAGUAGCACCCUGAAUCUCUACGAUUCGUUCAAGGCCAGCAUCCUUGGGACUUCAGUUCACUAAGAACUCUUCAAGGCCAGCAGCCUUGGGACUCCUCUAGUUCCCUAGGAACUCUUCAAGCCCAGCAGGCUUGGAACAUCAUUUAGUCCCUUUGGACAAGGACCCUUUGGCCCUGCUUUGUUUAGUCCCUCUGGAUAAGGACCCCUCAGGCCUUGGCUUUGUUGAGUUGUUUGUUUGUUAUUGUUGGAGUCGGUGCUGAGCUGCUAAGAUGUCUUCAUGCUCUGAACAUCUUGUAUCCAUAGCAGCUUGGCUUGAUCAUCCUUGAAGAGCAGUUGAGUGUUGCAUGAUGCUCAGCUUCUUAGGUUGCUCAACUACUCCGGAUGACCCCUUGAUGAACUUCCUUGAAGAUCAUUCUCCUUGGUACUUGAUGGCUGCAUAUGAGAGGCUUCUAAGAUGACUGUAAGCUCUUCUGUAAGGUACAUAGAAGCUUUCUCAUGCUUGACACCAAGAUGGCUUUUGUGAUCUCCCUUCUUGCUACUCGAUGCUUCUCAUGAUGGACUUGCUAAGAUGACUGUAGGCUCUUCUCUAUUGUACUUAGAGUCUUCCCAUGAUGGACAUCCAGAUGGCAUGAUACUCUUCUUUCUCUCGGCAGUUUAGAACACUCUUCAUGUAGUAGAACUCUCACUUCUAUAUAGUAGAACUCACACUUCUACUUCUUGCUUGAUUUGACUUCUGAGUGUUCUUGGUGGAUCGUAGAGUGAGCCUUCGGACUCACUAUCACUUCAUUGGAUCAGUCCACCUUCUCACCAAAAUACACAACUCCAGCAACCUUUGAUCUUUGAAGCUCUUUCUCAUUUAUACUUCUUCCCAACCCUUCCGUUGGAAAGUAACCGUUGAAUGCUAUUCAAAUAUCUUCACAGAUCUCAAGUUGCUUGAUGUAGACUACUUGAUGUGACUUGUCAUACUUUUUUUGAUGCUAAAGUCUACUAUUUCACUUACCCUGUCAGAUGUAUCACUUUUAUGUCUUGGGCAGGUCGAAGACUUUACUUCUUCUGAUUUCUUGAUCAGAGGUUGUCCUUUUGCAUCGAUGCUUUCAAUAAGCACUUGUCCGAAUGUUACCCUUCAGAUUGAACCAUUGCCAAUGCUUCAGUCUUCAGGUAUUCGAACUCUAUGAUUCUGAUGCAUGUCUUCAAGGACCUGAUCGUAGUGUCUUGUUGAUUGUUGUUCGUUGACUAGUAGAGUUAACACUACGAUCCUGAAGAGUGUUGAUUGGAUCUUCAAUGUAGAACACCUCUUCCUUGUAUUGUGAAGUGCUUCAAUACUUUUGUUUGCAUCGACUGUUCUCAGAUACUGAUGGCCUAAUUCCUUGCUCUGGUCCCCUUCUGAAUAUCAAGACACUUCUGAUUUGUGGCGCGUCCAGCUUGCUUUCUCCUGGUGAUCUUCCGCUCACUUAUCAUCAAUGAACUGACCCUGCAUUUAAUCACUUUAGCCUUGCUCUUCCGAAGCUCACUAGUAUCUCGGUUCACCUUCCAUCAGUUCCUUCUUUGUUUGGCAAACACUACGAUCUUGGUUGCUUCCAAGAUCGUUGUCUUCUGUACACUUGAUAGCUACUGCAUAAGCUGACUUUCCUUAAUCAGCUUCUGAAGUCUUCUUUGGAUCUCCUUGUGGAAGACUUCAUCAUGAAUGGCCUUACACCUCAAUCUUAAUGCUGAUUGGGUUUGUGAUGAGAUAUUCUGUUAGCCUGCAUACAAUUCGUUGAGUGCUCUCUGGUUCCCUUACUGUGGAUUGCAUCUUUGCAGUGCCAUCCAGAGGCUUUGUUCCUUUGGAUAUUCUGGGAGUGCUCAUUCGUUGAGAACCGUAUCUGCUCUACGAUUCUGACUUAGCAUUGUGAGCACUUCUGUUGGAGUCAUAGUUCUGCACUCUACGAUUCAGCUUCGGCUGUGCAGACACUACGAUCCCGAGAUCAGAUAUUGACACUCUUUGCCUUGUGCUUGUUGUCUUCAUCUGAUCUUGCCCGACUACGAUCUCUACCUUCACUUAAUGAACUCUACGAACUCAGAGUGUAGUCUACAAUCCUUGACUUUGUUCCCGCAGACGAUCGUUCGGCUCAUAGGCAGGCUGUCUCUAUGAUUUUACACAUAACUUCCUCAGCACACUACGAUCCCGAGGAAGCUCUUCUCGACACACUACGAUCCUUCUUCGUUUCCUCCUUGAAGUCUACGAACUCCGAGAUCUCACUAUCUUGCAUACUCCUAUUCUGCCUCGAUGGCUCCCGAGUUAACUUUGACUCUCCUGGCUAGACCUGGCAAACGGGCGGGCGGGCCCGGGCCGAGCGCGGGUGGGCCAAAAUCAGGCCGGGCUAAAAACGGCCCAGGUUUUAGCGGGCUGAAAAAGUGAGGCCCGUGGCCCGGGUUGGGCGGGCCGGGCCAGCCCGCGGGCUUUUCCUCUUCUUUUUUUUUUUGCAAAAUCUUGAUACACCAAAAAUAGUAUUAAUAAUAAAUAUUAAUAAUAAUUUUAAUUACUUAAAUUAACUAUAUAUCUCAAUCAAUUAAAAUUUUAAUAGUAUUAUAAUUUUAGAUAUUAUUCUAAAGGCAUGAUUUGGGAUAAUGAUUGAUUUACUUUCCAAAUAAGUAGGGGGAAUGCAUAAUUAAGAGAUAAUGAUUGAUUUACUUUCCAAAUGUACUACAAUAAGUAGGGGGAUUACAUAAUUAAGGGAUAAAAUUAUCUAUAUUAUUGUGUAUAGAUUUUGGACUUGCAAUCUAAAAAAUUAGUGGUUGAUUCGGAUUAUAUAUUGCUAGUAAUUCAAAGUAUAUAAUCAAAUUUGAUUCUUUAAAAUUAAUAUAAUUUAUUUAACUUUUAAAAAUAAUAAAUACUGUAAUUAAUACUAAUAUAUAGAUAAUUUUAAAUUUUAUGAUUAUAUUAUCUAACUUAACUAAUAAUUGUUAGUUUAAUAGUUUUAUACUUUGAAAUUAUUAACUACAUAUCUCAAUCAAUUAAAAUUUUAAUAGUAUUUUAAAUUAGUAUUAUUAAUUAAUUACCUACAUUAACUACAUAUCUUAAUUAUAAUUUUCAAAUAUAGUUAAAAUUUAUUGAAGAUUGCAUUAAAAAUAAAUAGUUGUUGUAGCUUAGUUGGUUUGAACUCUUAUUGAUUUACUUAUAAGUCUUGUGUUCAAGCCCUACAAGUAGCAAAAUUUUAUUUAAAUAAAUAAAUAAAUAAACUCACGGGCCACGAGCCGGGCCAAAAACGCCAAAGUUUCCAUGGGCUAAAAAAGUUAAGCCCAAAGCCCUAUUUUUACGGGCCAGCCCGGCCCGGCCCGCGGGCCUGGGCCAAUUUUACCUGGUCUACUCCUAGCAGACUACGACUUCUGGUGCAAUGCUCGACGAUCAGACAAGCCUAUCUAUUACAUCAUAAGAUCAACCUAACAAGCUUGAUCUUUAUAUAUUUAUAGUCUUUGUACAUCAUUUCUUUUUAAGGACUUUACAAAGCUGUCUUUCUUAUGUAGGAUCAACCUAACAUAUUUGAUCAAUUCAUUCUAAGUCCUUGUACACAUAUUUCUAUUAUCUAUCAGAGGACUUUAUAGCUUUUCUUAAUGCAAGCAUACUUGCAUAUUAUUCAUUCAUAUACAUAUAUAUCAUAAUCAAAUCAUAUAUAAAUAGGAAUAGCAUUCACAUGCUUAUUCCUGACAAUCUCCCCCUAUUUGAUUAUGACAAAAAUAAUAAGUGCAUAUGCAUGUUAUGAAUGAAUCUUAUAUACAGUGAGCAGCUGUAUUUCUAAAACAGUUAAUCAUGAAUGUCAUUUAUAUUGAUAUGGCAAUUUAUACAUUAAGACAUUCUACAUCCUGGAUCCAGAACAUUCCUAACAGAUUAGAGAUGUACCUCCUUGGCUCCAUGUGUGUUUCCAGGAUGCUUGUUGAUCAGCUACUCAUCUGAUUGGACUUCUUUUUCUUGCUCCCUUUCAGUAUCUUUCUGUUCUGGCUCCCCCUUAGAUGAGGAUACUCUUUCAGCAGCUACUGUCUCCUUGUUUGACUUCUUCUCUCUUGUCCCUCUGUUCUUCUUCAAGUGCCUCUUGCUCCUCUUCUUUCUAUGCCUCUUUUUCUCCCCCUUUUGUCAUCAAUCAUUUGAGAGAGCUGCUCCAUGUUUGACAUAAGCUGCUCCAUCAGGUAGGAGGAGUUGGCAACUUCAAACUUUAGUUCUUUCUGGCCGAGCUCAAGUUAUACUGAGAAAGUCUGCCUCAUAUCAUCAAUCUUGUAAGAGAGGGCUUCGAUCUGCUCUACAUUGGCCUUCUGAUCUUGUAUGGCUUUCUGAAAGAUGCUAUCUCUCUCUUGGAGUUUGAGAGAUACAUCAGCCAAGAUAGCUUGAAGCUUGUGCUGGAAAGAAUCAUCUCCUGCUGCUGUCUGCUUCUGUGAUUCUUCAGUGAGCAUUGAUAUUUUCUUGCUUAGAUCAUUAGAGCUCUUCAGUAGUUCCUACUCCAUAGUAGUUUGAUCUUCUUGAUUGGCAGCUUCAGGUUGAGCAAUGGAUUAGACUCUACGAUUAUCAUCUUUGGACAGAUUUUCAAAGGUUUGGAUAAUCUGAACAAUCGUGGAGUACCAAUUGCUUGUAGAGGAUGGAGUGUCUGAUAUUAGUGCUGGAUCAUAAGAAGGCUUCUGGUUUUGGACUUGAAUAUCAUCAGCAAUAGAGUGAACAGACUCUAUAAUUUGCUCCUUGGUCAUGACUCUUUUUCCUUCAGAAUCAACUCUACGAUCGUAGGGGAUGUAGAGAUUCCCAGCCUGUCGAUAGACCUUGAAGUGAGGCUGGUUUGUUAUCAUCUUGGUAGCAUAAGUUUUCACCCUUGGAAAGUUUUAGGCUACCAGUUCCAUGCUUGGAAAAGUCUUGUAACACCAGCUGAAGUAACUUCCAUCUCCUUCAGUAAAGGCCUUCAACCAAAGCAUUGAUUGGAAGAACCAUCUCAUCAGUAAAUCAUCAGGGUUGUAGAGAAUGGUUGAUCAGUCUAGCUUCAUGUUGUUCCAGUUCUUGACUAAGUCAUAGGAAGUCAUUCUUAUUACUCUGAGUUGUUCACCUCCAUGGUUUACCCAUCUAUCAGGAGGAGUUUCUGAUGGUUCAUUGGGAGCUUCUACCACAAUUCUCUUGGUAAAUCUUGCAGGUGAGAGAACAGGGUGAAGUUCUGAGUUUUCUGAUUCCUGAUCUUCAGAGUUGGAAUCAUUUCCUGCUUCUUCCUUCUCAGAAGCAGAACCGUUUAGAUCAGCUUCAGCAGAGAGGUCUUCUUGCUGCAUUUCAUGUUCAGAACCUUCUUGAUCAUCUUCAACAGAAAAUCCUUCUUGCUGAGUUUCAUUAUCAGAACCUUCUUCAGGAAGUAUUUCCUCAGAUUUUUCUUCUUCACUGCUGGCUUCAUCUUCAGCACUUUCUCCUGGGGAUACAGACUCAUCAUCACUUAAUUCGAUGAUGGCAUUUGAUUGGCCACUGUUCCUUUUGGAGGCAAACUGGGCUUGCAGCCUGUAGCUUCUCCUUCUUCGUGGAGGUUCAAUUGUUGGAGACACUGACUCUUCUUCUUCUUCAGGCUCUGACUCCUCUUGCUCAACAGACAUACUUCUUUGGAGUUCAGCACUUGCAGGGGCAGAUUCUUUUUUCUUGGACUCAUCACUUUCUGAGCCAUCAUGAGAGCUUUCUGGAUUGGAGGGGACAUUUUCAUCUUCUUCUUGAGUAGUAUUUUCUGACCCAUUCUCUGGGCUCGUUGGGGCAGUGGCAUUUGGGGAUGCGCUUUGGUCACUUUGACUUUCUUUUUCAUCAUCAGAGUUACUUAUCUGAGAAUUGGCCAUGGGGCUUGAGCACUUUUCUUCAUCAGCAGUUUCUGCACUUUCUUUCAUCACAUCAGCUUCAUUCUCAUUAUUGGAUGCUGACUGUGGGGACUGGACCACAUUUUUAGUUUCUUUCUCUUCUGCUGACUCUACGUCCCUUUCUUCAGCAGAUGUAUUGAUUUAAGAAGCUAAGGCUGGUUUGUCAUCCACCUUAGCUUUCUUGCUGACUGGCCCUUGAAGCAACCUGGUGCUUCUUCUUUUUGUGGUUUCAGCAGUUUGGGCCUUUUCUUCUUUGUCCCUGUUCAGGGAGGAGACUCUCAUUGGUGGGACCUGGGCUUUCUUCUCAUCACCAGCUUUCUUCACAACUUUUGAUUUCUUUCUGGCUAGUGUGAUUUCAGCUGCUGUAGAGUCACUGGACUCAGAGCUUUCUGUCUUUACUAUUUUCCUCUUCUUUGCAGAGGCUCUACUGCUGCUCCCAGCUGUCAGCCUUUUGUUUUCCUUGGGGUUCUUCUUCCAGUUUUCAAAUAGCUGUGGAGACAUCACCUUGUGCACAUUCAAGGCUUAUCCCUCAUCUUCCUUGAUUUUCCCUCCUAGUUUCUUCUUCAGAAUGAUACUCAGCAACCUCCCAUGAAAUACCUUGGUCAGUGACUUCUUCUCAGCCUUCUCUACCCACUUAGAGAUUUGAUCAAACAAAAUGGCUCCAAAGUCAAUUUGUUUCUUCAGAACUAUAGCUGAAAUUAUCUUCAGUUGUUGAUCAAUCGCCGUAUCAUGUGCAGUGUUUUUACACAGUAUGAACUUUCCUACAAUUUCAGCAAGGAACUCAUACUCUUCAGGGAACUCCUUCUUCUUCAUGUCUUUGAAGCUAGGGUUUCUUUGGUAUCCCAUCAACUCCUUCGCUUGCUCAAUGUUGACAUCUUCAAGGUUCUUCAGCCCUUGGCUAGGGAAACCUAGGCAUUGAUUAAGGUCAGAAGAUUUCAGCUUUAGAAUCUAACCUUUAACCUUGGUAGAUAGAGUUCUAGAGUUUAUGGAGACGUUUGAGUAGAACUCCUUAACCAGGUCAAUGUAUACACGAGUACUCGCCUCGAGACAUUCUGAAAACCCAGCUUCCUUUACGAGUCUAAGUAUGUCCCUGAACUUCUUCUCAGAUUUCUCAAAUGAUUUGGUUCCAAGCUGAAUGCCGAUGAUAACUUGUCAGUUCUCCAUUUGAAUAGUUCGAAGACUGUGGGUGUUUGAUUUAGAGAGAUAAAAAGAUGACUGACUGAGAUUUGGUAAUGAUAUGGAGGGUUAACUAAUUUUGCUCUUGAAAAGCUUUCUAGGGUUUUGAAAAUGGGAGGGAGAAAGGUUCAAUAUCUUUUGGUAACUAUCUGCAGAUUUGAAAUCGUCUUUAUGGCAGUUCCUUCUAACUCUGCAUACUCAGUGAUGUGUCAACUGUCCAUUGGUUGCAUGUUUCCCAGUAAUAAAAUGUAACUCCCAACAACUUUUCAGUUAUUUGAAGAGUGGACAUUUAAUUGACGUGGCUUUGACGGUUGACCUUUUUAAUUCGUAGAGUGGCAUGAUGAGGCAGCUAUAGACUCUACGAUUUCCUUUGUUGACUCAACGAUCAACUUCUAAGAGAUGCUGUAGUGGAUUGUUUUGUCUUUCCUCCUUACUUUGAUGCAGCAUAGCUCAAUCACUGAUGUAUUCGAACUUAUCUCCUCAACUUGAAUGGCUUAGUAGAUGUCUUAUUCUUCCGGUUCCUUGUGAACUGGUGUACCCUUUGAUAGGAAUACAAUCGUUGAUUUAUCCUCUACGAUCGCUGAGGUUGCACUACGAUCGUUUAGUACUCUUCAGACUCAACUCUACGAUCGUUGACUGACUUGGUUCUUUUGAGAUGAACUAGAUCAAGCAUUCCUUCUGGGAUAAGGUAGCUCAGGAAGGGCUAACCUCUUAGAGUGAGCUAAGGGUCAGGUUUAUCCCUGAGGCGCUUUCCAGAUGAAGUGUUAUGGCAAUAAUUUGUAAUAACAUCUCAUUAGACCUUUUCUGAUGGGGAGGUCUUUCUACAAGCUCUGGAUAUCUGUAUUGCUGAAAUUGUGGUGUCCUUCUGCUCUUACACUAAGAUCAUGUGUUUGAUCGUAGGAACUUCACGAUUAUGGAUUGGGUGGCUGAAGGGUUAUCAGUAGUACAUUUUGAGACGUUCCUACUGACUAUGGAUCUUCAUUUGGUUCAUCAGCCACAAAUUUUUGGGACUCUGUAGCUGGUACAUCUCUUCCAGGUUUAAUAGUGAUGUUAUUCCUUAACAGAUCACUGCUCCCCCAUUGUUGAUGCUAUCUUCUCAGAUAGAUGUGAUUCCUUCUUCAUGUUCAUUUGAAGGCUGCCCAGCAUUUUUCCUUCUGACUGGAAUCAUCAUCGUUGCUUAGUUAUCCUUGUAUCGUAGAGAUGAGUAUUUUCAGGAUUGAUCACUCUACGAUCAUUUGACAGCACUACGAACGUAGUCUUUUUUGACAGUCCUUUAUUUUGAGAAGUUCUACUUCGUAAAGAACUCCUUUUGUCUUAAGCUCAAUGAUCUUCUGUUGUGAGCUUCCCUUGAGAAUCCUUUUCGUACAGCAUGCCUUUCUUAAUAUGAGCAUAUAGAAUCCUCUUUAUCUUCUGUUUCAUGGCAUGCUCCCAUAUACAGAUUUGCAGCCAUGUGAGCUCCAUUCCGGUUAGCUCAUAGGGUCUUCAAGGACAGGCUUGGACAUAUAGGAACUUUAUCAGACUCAUUUCUGAACAGUCCUUAGCCUUCUGCUGGUUGAAUCUUCUUGACUGAAGUAUUCUGCUUCAUCAUUCCAUAGAGUGGUCAGACUGACCAAAUACCUACAGGUUUAAAUAUAUUUCUAUUUUUGGUACCCAUAGUUAAAUGGGUCCUGCUAGGUUAGUUUUCUAAACCCCUGUUCCUCUUAUUUGGAUAAUCAUCAUAUUUAUCAUCAACAGACAUAUCCAUACAUGCAACUAUCUUAUGAUAAUACAUUUCAAGAUGCAUGCUGGUGAGUGUGUGUGGGAUAUGGCAUUUAAUAACACAAUCUCUAUCUAUGAUGGUUUCAUCAUUCACUGGGUUAUGUUCACAAUGUUUAAGUGUUCACAGAGUGAGAAUCAGCUCUACGAUUUUAGGAGUAUCUAGUUGAUUCAUUUAGGUGAUCAGUUUCUACAAAUCAGCAAGAUCCUCUUGCAGAACUGACCAUGCUCUGUGUGUUGUCAAACACUUAGAACAUAGGCUUGUACAUACAUACUAACCCAUCAGCAAAGAUUACUUCACAUAACAUUCAUUAGGUCUGUGAUGCUCUUAUGACCCAUUUCAGACUUCUUUCAAGAUAUAAUCUUCAACCUAGAACUUGGAUGGAGAGAAAGUUUAUAGUCAUUUGAGUUUCCAUCCUCAUGUUACUCUCUCUCUUCACCUUUUUAGGUAGAUUAUGACUCCUUGACAUAAUAUUGUUAUAGUUCAUAAGAAGAUGCAAUAAUGAUGUAUAUUUACAAUAGUGAGGAACCGUACCUUUUUACUGUCAGUAACGAAACAGUCAUUUAUUGAAGAGAUACUGAGUUUGGGUAUUGAUGUGCAUGGCUUUACUUUUACUCCUGACAGCUUAUUGCUCUUGCUGACCUUUAAUCAAUCAGUAGUGGUCUUGAAGAUAUAGGCCAAGAGAAUCUCAGCAUUAAGAUCUUUGACAUCUUUGAGUUUACAAAGAUAGCACCCAGUUGUUGGUUGGUCACUCAUAAGUUUGAGAAGAUCUUCUUUCUCCUCUCGAUCAGCAUUUCUUAGUACGCGUGACCUCUUCAUCUUUCAGACUGAUGAAUGCUUUACUCUUUGUCACUGAUGUCUCUUGCUCUCUUUCUCUCGUCUGGACUUCAGACUACAAGAUUGACUGCGGGCUAGGAUUGGUCUUGUUGAUAUAGCAAUCGAGGAUAUGGACCAAUCUGAGCAGCUACAGGUGUAUACACAUUUUUGCCUAUACACAAUAUUUCCAACGUGUGAGCUCUUCUUCAUAUAACAAGUUACUUAUUACUAAACUAAGUUUAGAACAAUGUUAGUGCCUAGGAUCAGACUCAAAGCGAUUAGCUUUUGAAUAAAGCAUGAGAACCUGCUCUGAUACCAAUUGUUAGUUCCCAGAGGGCACAAUAGAUCUAGAAGGGGGGGGGUUGAAUAGAUCCUUUUUAUUUCAAAUACUUUUUUGGUUUAUGUUGUAUUGUUCAUAUUUAAGUAUAUGACAAACAUAAGAAUCUUUUCAAGCACAGCGGAAUAAGUAAAAGAUUCCCAUUUAUUGGUAUAUUCGUAAUUAUACAUACAUUGUUCGUUGGGUUGGUUUAGUUGUAAGAAGUUAAAACAUACAUAGCAGUUAUAGCAGUUAUAGACAUAAUGUGAAUGACAUAAUGUAAAAGACACAAGGGGUUUUAAGUGGUUCAGAGACUCAAGCUCCUAAUCCACUCUUCUGCUUUCAACUAGCAUGAUUUCCACUAAGGAAGGGCAACACUCUGUAUCUCUACGAUUCCUUCAAGGCCAGUAGCCUUGGGACUUCAAUUCACUAAGAACUAUUCAAGGCCAACAGCCUUGGGACUCCUCUAGUUCCCUAGGAACUCUUCAAGCCCAGCAGGCUUAGAACUUCAUUUAGUCCCUUUGGACAAGGACCCUUUGGCCUUGCUUUGUUUAGUCCCUCUAGACAAGGACCCCUCAGGCCCUGGCUUUGUUGAGUUGUUUGUUUGUUGUUGUUUGAGUCGGUGCUGAGCUGCUAAGAUGUCUUCAUGCUCUGAACAUCAUCUAUCCUUAGCAGCUUGGCUUGAUCAUCCUUGAAGAGCAGUUGAGUGUUGUAUGAUGCUCAGCUUCUUAGGUUGCUUAACUACUCCGGAUGACCCAUUGAUGAACUGCCUUGAAGAUCAUUCUCCUUGGUACUUUAUUGCUGCACAUGAGAGGCUUCUAAGAUGACUGUAAGCUCUUCUGUAAGGUACUUAGAAGCUUUCUCAUGCUUGACACCAAGAUGGCUUUUGUGAUCUCCCUUCUUGUUACUCGAUGCCUUUUAAUGAUGGACUUGCUAAGAUGACUGUAGGUUAUUCUCUAUUGUACUUAGACUCUUCCCAUGAUGGACAUCCAGAUGGCAUGAUGCUCUUCUUUCUCUCGGCAGUUCAGAACACUCUUCAUGUAGUAGAACUCUCACUUCUACAUAGUAGAACUCACACUUCUACUUCUUGCUUGAUCUGACUUCUGAGUGUUCUUGGUGGAUCGUAGAGUGAGCCUUCAGACUCACUAUCACUUGGUUGGAUCAGUCCACUCUCUCUCCAAAAUACACAACUCCAGCAACCUUUGAUCUUUGAAGCUCUUUCUCAUUUAUACUUCUUCCCAAUCCUUCCCUUGGAAAGUAACCAUUGAAGGCUAUUCAAAUAUCUUCACAGAUCUCAAGUUAUUUGAUGUAGACUGCUUGAUGUGACUUGUUAUACUUUUUCUGAUGCUACAAUCUACUAUAUCACUUACCCUGUCAGAUGUAUCACUUUAAUGUCUUGGGCAGGUCGAAGACUUUACUUCUUCUGAUUUCUUGAUCAGAGGUUGUCCUUUUGCAUCGAUGCUCUCAAUAAGCAGUUGUCCGAAUGUUACCCUUCAGAUUGAACCGUUGCCAAUGCUUCAGUCUUCAGGUAUUCAAACUCUAUGAUUCUGAUGCAUGUCUUCAAGGACCUGAUCGUAGUGUCUUGUUGAUUGUUGCUCGUUGACUAGUAGAGUUAACACUACGAUCCUGAAGAGUGUUGAUUGGAUCUUCAAUGUAGAACACCUCUUUCUUGUAUUGUGCAGUGCUUCAAUACUUCUGUUUGCUUCGACUGUUCUCAGAUAUUGAUGGCCUAAAUCCUUGCUCUGGUCCCCUUCUGAAUAUCAAGAUACUUCAGAUUUGUGGCGCGUCCAGCUUGCUUUCUCCUGGUGAUCUUCCGCUCACUUAUCAUCAAUGAACUGACCCUGCACUUAAUCACUUUAGCCUUUCUCUUCUGAAGCUGACCAGUAUCUCGGUUCACCUUCCAUCUGUUCCUUCUUUGUUUGACAAACACUACGAUCUUGGUUGCUUCCAAGAUCGUUGUCUUCUGUACACUUGAUAGCUACUGCAUAAGCUGACUUUCCUUAGUCAGCUUCUGAAGUCUUCUUUGGAUCUCCUUGUGGAAGACUUCAUCAUGAAUGGCCUUACACCUCAAUCUUAAUGCUGAUUGGGUUUGUGUUGAGAUCUUCUGUUAGCCUGCAUACCAUUCGUUGAGUGUUCUCUAGUUCCCUUACUGUGGAUUGCAUCUUUGCAGUGCCAUCUAGAGGCUUCAUUCCUUUGGAUAUUCUGGGAGUUCUCAUUCGUUGAGAACCGUAUCUGCUCUACGAUUCUGACUUAGCAUUGUGAGCACUUCUGUUGGAGUCAUAGUUCUACACUCUACGAUUCAGCUUCGGCUGUGCAGACACUACGAUCCCGAGAUCAGAUAUUGACACUCUACAAUUUCUGCCUUGUGCUUGUUGUCUUCAUCUGACCUUUCCCGACUACGAUCUCUGCCUUCACUUAAUGAACUCUACGAACUUAGAGUGUAGUCUACGAUCCUUGACUUUGUUCCGGCAGACGAUCGUUCGGCUCAUAGGCAGGUUGUCUCUACGAUUCUGAACAUAACUUCCUCAACACACUACGAUCCCAAGGAAGCUCUUCUCGACACACUACGAUCCUUCCUCUUUUCGUCCUGGAAGUCUACGAACUCCGAGAUCUCACUAUCUUGCAUACUCCUAUUCUGCCUCGAUGGCUGCCGAGUUAACUUUAACUCUCCUGGCAGACUACGACAUCUGGUGUAGUGCUCGACGAUCAGACAAGCCUAUCUAUUACAUCAUAAGAUCAACCUAACAAGCUUGAUCUUUCUAUAUUUAUAGUCCUUGUACAUCAUUUCUUUUUAAGGACUUUACAAAGCUGUNNNNNNNNNNNNNNNNNNNNNNNNNNNNNNNNNNNNNNNNNNNNNNNNNNNNNNNNNNNNNNNNNNNNNNNNNNNNNNNNNNNNNNNNNNNNNNNNNNNNAUAUAUAUAUAUAUAUAUAUAUAUAUAUAUAUAUAUAUAUCAUAAUCAAAUCAUAUAUAAAUAGGAAUAGCAUUCACAUGCUUAUUCCUGACACGCGCUACUCGGGAAUAUCAGACACUGAACAGAUGUAGGGACGUGUUCUAGACUGAUCCAAGCCACCUCUCCUUAAUACAUGCAACUUCUCCACUUCUCCUACACCCAUUACACUUCAUAUCGUUCAUAACCCCCAUUACACCAUCUUUACUUCUCCUUCUCCUUUUCAACUUCCAUUCCUAUUAAACCAGUCCAUCCCCAUCUUCCUAACCACAUUGGUUUUCCAUCCCCUAUAUGAACUCCAACCAUCCAAGAAGUCAAUUUCCUAUCAGUUAUAAACACAACAAUCCAAUCCUAAAUCUAAUCCAUUCCAUGCACAAAUUCAUUCAAAUUGGGACAUCUUUACAAAGAGGGAACCCCAAAAUCAUUUAAGGCAUAUAUACGGCAUGGGCUGCACUGCUCGGACAUCCCAGGCAUUAAAAGUGGUUUAUUUCCAAUAUUAGUCAAGUCCAACUCAAGUGUGGUUCCCGAUUUAUUCCAAUGUGUCUGGCCUAUUCUUCAGACUUAGCAGACAAGGCGGGAAUGCGGUAUUUUUAGGGAAGUCCUCACUUUUAAUUUUUCCUAUCUUAGCCAUUGAGGACAAUGUCUAGUUUAAGUUUGGGGGCAUUUUAGUGUCGUAUUGCAUAUAGUUAGUUAUUUACAUUGUAGUUCGUAUAGUUAUAUUUAGUUUUUGUAUUCUUGAAAAAAAAAUUGAAAAAUUGAAAAAUUAGUAGUUAGUUUACUAUGUUUAUAUAGCAUUUGGUACAUCUUGCAUGAGUCCAGCUGCUUGAUAUUUACAGUUUGUUUUGGCUAAUGAUGAGAUUUGAAUUGGGUAGACAAGUAUAGCACUGAUUAUUAGAGCUUUGAUGUGAUUUCCUGUUAGGAAUUGAGUCUUUUUCUGUUUCAAACUGGUAUAAUAAGGAUAGCACAGUAAAAAUAGCUUAUUGAAUGAUUGAGUUUAAAUUGAUACAUAAAGGAUCUCUAAAGGAUAAUGCUAGUUUAAAUAAGAGAAUAACAAGGAUAGGCAGUAAAGGCGAAUAAUUAGGCAAGAACCUAAGUUUGGGGGAAAAAGUGGGGUAUAUAAGCUUCUAAGAAAAGGAAAAAAAAAAGAAAAGAUAUUGAGUUGAAUAAAUUGAGUCAUGUGGUGGGUCGAGAAGAAGCGUGAAAUGCACUCCCCAUAAACACAGGCGUGAGAUGGAGCGUAAAACGCACUCAUUAUCCAUCAUUCAAAAAGAAAAAGAAUAAAAAGGGAAAUAAGAGCAAAAAGCCCACGUAGAUGAAAAAUGAAGUAUAAGUAUCCCAUGUUGACCCUCGAUAUUAGUAAUUGUUUAAUUUUAGAUGGAUCUAACUUGUUUUUGGAUUUCUUGAGUGUACACUGUAUGAUGCCUUCGAAGAGACUUAUUAUAUGUUAAAUUUGAUUUUAUAUCAGCUAACAUUGUUGUGGAGCACACACGCACUAUAUUGGUGAUAACAGUCUAAGAUUUGAUGAUUGAUUGAGAAGUUAAUGAUUUGUUUUGAUAUGAUGUAUUAUUAUGUUUACUUGAUUUCUCUAAGGUCGGUUGAAUAGACUUGUUUUUGUCAUUACUGCUGGAUUCAUAGGCAUGUAAAUUAGUUGCAUUGCAUAGCAUUGUUGUUUUGUGUUUUUGCUUGAGGACAAGCAAAUGUUUAAGUUUGGGGGUAUUUAAUAAGUAGGUUUUAUACCAACUUAUCCGGUAUCUAUUACUUGAAUUAGUUGCUUAAACCUAUGUUUCUUAGUUCCUUUUCAUAUAUUUUAUGUUAUUUUGUAGGCUAUGACAUAACAUUGGCAUGAAGAAGCAAGGGAAAGCAAUUCGGACAUCUUUUGGACCAAAAUACACAAGCAAAUACAAGAAGAGAAUAUUUAAGGACUUUUAACACCAAGUUGGAUGAAUGUUCUUGGCUUUGAGUUUGGAAUUUAUUGUAGAUCUACUUCUUAGCUUUCCGUAACAUCUUGAAUCAUCCCAAUCGGAGUUCGGAUGCGAGAGUUAUGGCCUUUUUGUCAACAAAGAUCAAAGCUAAGAGUUGUCAUGUUUGCCAUUUACAUAGCAUCUACUUCAAGCCCAAUUUCCUCCUUUCUCCGGAUGGAAUCUAUCAAUCCUCAAAGAAUGAAAGGUGUAUAUCUCGUCGAUAUCUUCGAUUUGAUAGGUGACACACCCCGUAACUCCAAGCGGAUCAAAGGUUAUGCCUGUUUUACCAAAGGACAUCGCAGCAGAAAACAGCGUAGCGCGGACCGCGAUAUAAAUGAACUAUACAUAGCGCGGGGCGCGCUAGUCCACCAGAGUGUCGAUCACUGCAGCACGGGGUGCGCUAGGCGGCGAGGGGACAACUUUUUUGGGUUAUUUGGUGUCCAAUUUGAGCUAGAAUAGGAUUCUUAGUUGCCUAACUUGCUAGGAUGUCCAUUAGAACUAUAAAUACAUGAUGAGAGACAUAAAAGAGGAGAGAUAGUCUAGUUAUGGGAGGAUUCUAUUAGAUUAGAUUAAAGUAGAUUAGGAUCAAAAUCCUAGUUCUUAUGAGAUUAGGAGAUUGAAGCAACUUGGAGACCAUUGAAGAUUCAAAGUAAGAGCAAGGAGGGAGCAUCAAAUCUACAGACAAGAGAUUCUAUCUUCUCAUCUUCUUCUUCUAUCUUUGUCUUUUAAUGAUUAUUCAAUUGUGGAUUCUUAGUUUUAAUUCAAUGAACUAAUUCUUUGUUUGAGAUUACAAUGGAUCUUAUUGUGUAGUUUAUUUUAAUAUGCUUCACUAUCAAUUAUUAUGUUCUAUUGUGCGGAUUGUCUAUUGUGAUUUGGACUUAAUUGUUUAAUUGUCUAGCUAAUAAUUAUCGUGAUAAUCUAUAUGAACUCGAGAGAUGAAGUAUUGAUUUAGAUCUUAUCAUGAUAGCAUGUGUUUGUGAUUUCUGCAUAGAUGGAAUUUAUGAUUCGUGUUUAGGAUAGAGAUAUGCAUUUAAGCCAUAUGUAAUCUUAUAGAGAACUUGUGCUUUAAAUCUUUUUUUAUUGUAAUUCACAUAGAGAUAUAGUGGAUUAGUUAAUUAGGGUGUCUUGCUUGAUUCUAUCAUCUUUGGAUUUAAGUGAGUAUGGGUAUUAUGCAUCGAGAGAUGGUUAUCUGCUUUAGUGUUUUUGAUUAACAAUUCAUGAUAGAAAAUAAUUGAUGAGAAGUGUGUUAAGUUAUAUGAAGCAAUAAGUGAAAUUGUGAUCUUAAAUCUCUGUAAUCUUAAUUUAACUAGUAGUCAUUAGAAUUAGUUUAAUUAUAUAAUUUGAAAUUCAUUCGUUUAAAUAAGAUUGAGUAGGUUACGGGUUAGUACUUGGUGAUUUUUAUUAAACAAUUCCUCAUGGGAACGAUACUCUACUUUCACUUUAUUACUUGUUGACCACGUAUACUUGCGUGUUGUGCGUAAUUAGAUUUUACCCAACAAGGGACAUACCUCUCUUUAUUGUCCCCACUAUAAGCAAGGUACAUAUUUUAUUUGUGGGAUAGAAGGUCAUCAAGCGAAAGGUUGUCCAAGAUCAAGAAAAAGGCGUAGUGAACCAGUAGUAUAAGUACUGUUAGAUUAUGUGUGUUCUAUGUAAUAUUCUCAAACUUUUGCAUAAGUUGUAGCAGUAAAUCCCGACUUUUGUUGUCGCUAAGGGAUAACAAUAUGUGUUAUGUUAUGUAAAGUGCUAUGACUUAGUUGAAUGAAUAUGAAUCUAUGUUUGAUUGAUGGAAUAAGUUUUGUAUUAAACUUCGUGUUAUCUGUUAAACUUAUACAAUAAGGUUUAGAAUGUAAGUUAAAUUUAUGGUCUUAUUUAACUAGAUAAUGCCACCAAGACGUCGAACUCGAAACCAAAGGGCAGAAGAAUCUGUCAACAACGCUGAAGGACAACAACAUGACCCAAUGCAAAACUUUGCGAAUAUGGUAGCUCAAGCUAUGUAACAAGGAAUACCAGCCGCGAAAACUCGCCAGACAAUCGUUUGGCGAACUUCAAAGAUUUUAAGGUUGUAGCACCGCCAGAAUUCAGAGGUUAAACUGAACCUGUAGAAGCCCAGACUUGGGUUAAGGAAAUUGAAAAGGCGUUUGUAAUAGCUAGGGUAGCUGAGGGGCAAAAGAUAGCUUUUGCCACCUACACGAUGAAAGGGGAGGCAAACUUUUGGUGGGAAGCAAAUCAAGCUAGGGCAGGAGAAGGAAUAGGUUCAAAACUUUGUUUUUCUAAAAUUAUUUUUCAUCUAGUAUGCAUGCUAGGAUGGAGGUGAAGUUUCUGGAAUUAAAGCAGGAGAAUAUGACGGUGUCAGAAUACGCCGCAAAGUUUAAUGAAUUAGCUAGGUUUGUUUCGCAUCAAGUUGAUACGGAGGCGAGGAGGUUCGAGCUGGGAUUAAAACCCUUGCUCUACAACAAGGUGGCGGUGUUGCAGAUCUCUACAUUUGUAGCACUCAAGGAAAAAGCUAUUAUAGCUGAGGAGGGGAGUGAGACUAUGAGCCUCUAAAACAAGGAAAAAAAGAAACAAGGGCAAGGUCGUAGGAGCUGAGAAGGUGGAAACUAAUAGUGGGAAUAGGGGUGAAAAGAGGAAGGGGAACUAUUUUGGAAAUAUUCAGCUGAAACAAGAAGGUGUGAAGAAACAGACUGUGCAGUGUAAGAAUUGCGAGAAAAAUCAUUUUGGUGAGUGUCUAAAGGGUAGGUUUAUAUGUUAUAAGUGCGGGCAGGAGGGCUAUAUCUCUUCCAACUACCCCAAUCCAAGGAUGAACACUGGGUGUUUUAUAUGCGGGUCAAUGGAGCAUAAGGUGAAGGAUUGUCCAAAAAGGAGAAUGAAGGCAGGGAGUGUGACUACUGGGAAAGGCAGCCGGACUCUGGCGAUCACAGGACUGACUUCAUCAAACAAACCAACAAAAUCAACCGUGAGAGUCUUAAACAUGACAGUCCAGGAUACCAUGGUAGCUGGUGAAGGAACUCCAGGUAUUAUUCGAAUAACUUUUAUUUUCUUAUAUAUGAUUUUCCUAUAUAUAGUAAAUUAUUUUAUAAAGAAAUUUUGAAGGAGGAAUUUGAGUUCUAUUAUGAAUCAAAUUUUUCCGUUUAAUCAGAUAGACAAGGGCUACGUUGAAUAGUUAAAGAUCAGUUCGAUCAAGUAUGAUUGAGAUCGACUUGCAAUGAUUGUGUAUGCUAUGUACCCUUGUAUGUAUAAGUUUUAAAUUGGUGAUUCUGGGGCCGGAAUCUGUGUAAGGGAGGGUGAAUGUAAUAACUCGAUAUUUUCUAUAUAAAUAAAUAAGAAAUUUCGCAUAUAAUUUUUUUUAUUUUAAAGGAGGGAAUUUGAGCCAGGUAAUGGGUAUGUAUAUUGUGAGAAAUAAAAAAAAAUUAUUUAUUUCCUGAAUAAUUACAAAUAAGUUUUUAAAGAUUUAUAAAUCAUUAUAAACUAUAUUUUUAUAGUAAUUAAUUUUAUAGUAGAAAUAUUUUUAUUAAUUAUUUUCCAUGAAAAUAUGAUUAUUAUAUUAUUUAAAUAAUAUAUGAAAUGAUUAUAAAAUCAUUAUAAUAAUUGUAACGCCCGAGAAAAUCGGAUUUUUAGGAGAAUUAAAAAUUUUAUUUAAUUAUGUGGAUUAAAUGAAUUUAAUUGAUUAUUUAUAGGAGCAAGCUAAUUGAAGUCAUUCUAUGACCUAAACAUAUCGGAACAUCGUAGUAUUUUGGCUACGUGGUAGAAUGAAAGUGUUUGAAUUUCCAAGACGAAAAUAAAAGCUUUUCGGGAAAUUUUUUGAAAAACACUAUUCACGCAUUUCUGCUCGGGAAUUAUUUUUGAACUUCUGAGAAAUACGUAACGAUAGAAUAUCAAGGUGAGAUUGAAUAUCCAAUAAUAUUUCAGUUAUGGAAAAUGUAAUAUUUCGCCUGUGGACUUAAUUUGAGAACGUUAGUAAAAUCAAGCAUUAAGAAGUUAGUGAAAUGAUUGUAUAAUACUUAGGUAUUGUACGAGGUAGGGAAUACGAAUAUGAUACAAAGUAGUAUACGAGUAUGUAUGGAUGAUGGUAUAUCGUAUAUGAUGAAUAAGUAUAUGAGUUAGGAUACGAGAAUUAUACAUAGAGUAUAUGUUAUAAGGCUUUAAACCAUUUGUGAAUAGACUUGUGGAUUAUGUGGGAUGUACAAAUCCAAUAUGAUUUAAUAUUAAAGUCCAAAGGGAAGUGUGACAAGGCCCAAAUGUAAGAAUGGUUAAGUCCAAUAUAAGUUAAUGAACAAGCCAAGUGUUUGUUUAAUUACAAGCCCAAUGUAUAAGUUAAGUUAAAUUAACUAAUUAAGCUAAAGCCCAAAGUAAGAACCAAGGGGUUAUGGGUUGGUUUAAACCCAUGGUUUAAACCAUGGGUGAUCCAAAGUGAUAAACAAGUAACUUAAUGCUUAAGUGUUGUGAUGGGCAAGCAAAUGAUAGAAGUUGUGAUAAACAAGUUAACUUAAUGGCUAAGAUAAGUGGUGAGCAAGUGAUUUGGUGGUUAAGUAGAUGUGGUGGCCAAGUUAAGUUAAUUAGGAAGUAAUGAAUAGUAAGGAGGUGGAUUAAGGAGGUGGAGGUGGAUUAUUGACCAUUAUGCCCUUACUUAGGAUUUCCUAUAAAUAGGAAGCUUGCUAGCUCAUUUGUUCCUUGUUCAAAACACCAACAACUUAUUGGUUAGAGAGAAUAAGUGAGAAUAACCUAGAAAGUUAGACCUUUCAUUAUUUAAAUAAGCAAGAAGCAAGAAGAAGAUUAAGGCUUAGCAAGUGAUCAUCAAAGGGUAAGCCAUCUUGAACCAUGAUUCACUUUCUGUUCCAUUGUUAGAGAAGUGGGUGGUGGUAGAACAUGUAUGCUAAGAAGGGGUUGGAAUAAUGAAUCAAAGGGCUUAAGUAUUAAUAAGCCAUAAUUAAGUCAUGUUGUAAGAUAAGCAAUUAAUGAAGUUAUGAACUUAAGAAGAACUUGUAAAAUCUUGUAACAUGUUAACAUUAAUGGAAUUGGUAUGAUAAUAAGAAACAAUAAUGGUGGUUAAAAGAUUAAGAUCAUGAUAAGUCAUGGAAUCAUAGUAAGUAAUUUAUAUUUUCAUAAGUUACAAACUUAUAAAGAACAAGUAAUAACUUAUCAUGAUUAUAAGUUAAUGAAGUAAGUAUGUUAAGAUGUUAGUAUGAUGAAUUGAAUCCAUUUGAAACGAAAAACAAAUCUUAAGUAACGAAGUUUCGCCGGAAUUCACACGAUUAGACGACCAUCGUCGAAUUCGUGAAAUUCUCGGAAUGAAAGUCCAAUUUUGAUAUUUAGCUUGGAAACGUUGGUUUUCAAUGGAGACAAGUCUUAUUUGGCAUUAUAGAGUUGCGGACUCGAAAAUGACCGGAUUCCGACUUAGAACGAAGAAAUGAGCGUUGAACGUUCAUGAACGUUUAUCGUUUUCGUUAAAAAUGGACUAAUAGGUAAAAUUUUAGCAAACAAAGUCGAAUAGAUAAAAUUCUUGCAUAAACACGUAGAGUAUGUGAUUUGUGAACUAUAUGUUCUUGAACGAGCCAAUUCGGACUUAUAACGAAGAAGUUACGAGUCCGGGAAUCUCACAAUUUGAAAAAUCUGUCAAAAUAAUAUGUGGAAUAGAGUCCGCGCCGCGCCGCGACUCCAAGCCAAUUAGCCGGCGCCACAGCGCCAAAGUGAGCCUCGGCCCCUGCAAACUCGCGCAGCAGCGCGACCCAUAAUGAAGGGACUCGCGCCACAGCAUCGAGUCCGGGUUUCUAGUAGCAACAUGUGGCGCCGCAGCGCGGGACAAAGAGUAAUAAUCGGCGCCGCAGCGCCAGCCUUAAAACCUAGACAUUAAAGAAUGGUUGCAAGUAGAACUUGAAUGGAAAUUGUUUAACAAUGAACUAAUGGACUUAAUAAAACAUUGUUAAGUCAUAACUAAACCUCAAGUGCGAUCACUUAGAGUUAAAGAAAGCUAAUUGAAUGUAAACAGGAACGGUGUACAAUAAGUGUACAUAACCAAUGCCGAUUAAGUGUCAAUUAAUAACGUACAGACGUUAGUAUACUGUGAGGAAUGAUAAUUAACUCAAACCGAGAUGUAAUAAUGGAAUAAUUUCAAUUAAGUUAUAUAAGAAAAAGAACUUGGUAAGAACGAUGUAAAAGAACGACGGUAAGCCGGAACCAAUAAUAACAAAUCUAAUACAUGAUUAGAUUAAGAAGAAGGGUAAGAUUGUUUAGGAACUAGGUAUGUUCAUUCAUGACCUAAUGUGGUAUGUUAUGUGGUUAUAUGUUGUAGAGACCGUAAAGACUCAAAGGAAACAUAAUUUUACUGUAGCAAACGCUGAAGGCAAGUUUUUCUAAACGCUUGUCUAACCUUCGUGUUAGCCGGGUUUUCAAAUGAUUCAAGUUAUGAGAUGCAUGUAUGGUUUUAAAUAAAGAGUCAAGGCCCGUUUUAACUCGGCUAGACUAAUCUUAAUAGAUUGAUUGAUAUUUUUACAAAUCUUUCAAUAUAGAACUGCCAACGCUAUCCUACGCCAAUUGUUUGGUACGGAUUCAAGGUAAGCCUGAAUAUGAAUAAACAAAUAUAUAUUUCAUCGAGUAUUAGAUGGGCAUGUGAGGUUGUCACAACUUAAACGUACACACGUUUAAUGGAUGUAGUGUUGAUCAACAUAGAGUACUAUAGGCUGAUCACAUAGAAGUGCUCGUAAGAUAUGUCAGACUUACAGACUUCGUGCCGGGUUGUCCUUUUCAAAGAAAAUAUGAAAUACUCAUGGUCUUGGACCAGAAUUAAUGAAUUACUGAAUAUUGUUGUUGUAAAACAUUUUGAAGGAAAAGAAAUGCUAUUUUGAAUUAUGGAUAGUACUUCGUAACUAUUAUCCAGUUCUUGAAGAUAUACGAUUCCUAUGUUUCAAGCAUGCUUUUUAAAUGAAAUUGUUGUACUUGUUGAGCUUGUUAUGCUCACUCUUGCUUGAACCAUAUGAAUGCAGUUUAGACCGAAUGGACCAAAGGAUUCGACAAGGAUAAAGGGAAGGCUAAAGCAAACUUAUAGAUUACCUAUGUAAUAGUAUAGGUUUGUAAUGAUAAUAUUUGAUAUUAUGACAAGAACAAAUGUAACGGUUAUAAAGAACCUGGAGAAUGGUAGUAUUGUUUUGGAAUAUAUAUAAGACAUAUUCGUUCUUUUGAGGCAUUUCAAUUAAAUGUUUGUGUGAACUGUAGCACCGUGGAG
This 58445-nucleotide long non-coding RNA is filed under the name Panax ginseng (ginseng). RNAcentral describes it as "long non-coding RNA (PGIN_LNC007892)". The record is from RNAcentral. Lineage: Eukaryota; Viridiplantae; Streptophyta; Magnoliopsida; Apiales; Araliaceae.